This 79701-nucleotide long non-coding RNA is filed under the name Vitis vinifera (wine grape). Its description in RNAcentral is "long non-coding RNA (VVIN_LNC003761)". The record is from RNAcentral. Lineage: Eukaryota; Viridiplantae; Streptophyta; Magnoliopsida; Vitales; Vitaceae.
AGCAAGUGUGGGAGCAGUGGAGGCACUCAAGGAUCAGGGCUUUUGCAGAUGGAAUUACACCAUGAGGUCUAUUCACCAGCAUGCCAAGACCAACCUCAGGUCCUUUUCUCGGGCCAAGAAGCUCUCUUCUUCCUCUUCUGCCAUGGUUUCUAGCAGAGUGAGAGAUGAGAAGGCAAAGCAGUCAGAGGAGUCCUUGAGGACUGUCAUGUACCUGAGCUGCUGGGGGCCCAACUGAGGAAUAAGAUCUGGCCGGGUAUGAAGAUGAUGAUCAUCCUACCACUGAAUCAUCCAUGGAGGGCAUAUCCCAAGAAAGUGAUGAGAACAAUCUUAGUUCCCUACUUCGCUCUCUCAAGCUAAGAGCCUCUCUUCUUUUUCUUCUUCUUCUGAUAAGACGGGUGCAAACAAUGGCGGGGAAGAUGAGAAAAGGAAGAAGAAGACACAGAAAACAUUGGGAAAAGUCAUGUACUUGAGCUCCUGAGUCCCCCGUGAAGCAAUGGAUAGAGAUUUUGGGACGUGAUGCAAGAGUGAAAAAUUUGUAGAGAACCGCAGAUAGAUAUGAUGAUAUUGAUUUCAAUGUGUACUUCCAAAAAAAUGAUAUCAAAUUUCAGAUUUAUUAUCAUAAUAUUGUGUUGCCUUUCAUCAUUUUUGCCAUGGGAGUUGUUGGUUUUCGAGAGGGUUAGAAACUAAUUCUAUUUCGGAAAAAAGGAAUCACCAUCUUUGAGCAGUUCGAAAUUGCCCAGAUCUAAAAAAGACCUCGAUAAAAUAUAAAAAUGUUGCGCAGCUUGAGAUAUUUUUGUUCAUGAUUUGAUAGUCAUUUUUAAAAACGUUUUUAUUAUUUUUAAUAUUUAAAUGACAUAUAUUAAAAAAUUAAAAUUUUUUUUUCAAUUACUAAACAUUUCCUAAAAUUAUUACCUUUUAAUACUUCUUGAGCCCUCUCCUAUACUUCUUUUUCUCAAACAGUCUUUCUCAAUUCCGUCCUCGAUCUGAAAGAAUUUUAGCUUCUUUGAGUCUUACAAAAUAGAACAAUCAAAGCAAGAUCCGUCAUUUAGACACUAGGCUCAAAGGUUUCAUUAACAAACGAUACACCCCGACAAUCAUUUCUCCUCUUAUGAGUCAAAUUCAUAAUUUUACCUAUUAUUAGACAUUUCAAUUAAAAAUGAUGAAUAAGUGAUAUAAGUGAUAUAGUUAAAUUAAAUCUUUUAUGAUAUUUGAUAUCUUAUAUUAAAAAUUAGUUGACUUAUUACACUUUUAUUUGGGUUUUAAAAAGGGAAAAUUGUUUUGGACCCAACUGGUCCAAAAAUUAACAUUUGGUCCAUGUAACUUCCAUAAUUGAUAGAAAUGUUAUAAAAGGUUAAAAGACCAAUAUAUCUUUCAAAUUUCUAUAUAUAUUACUUUUUAAGGGUAUAAAAUAGUGAUGGACUAAAAUACCCUAUGACCUUUGACAUAAGUUUUUUUUUUCUUUAUUGCACCACUAUUCAUGCAACCAUAAUAAUUAUAUUUUAACAAUUUAGAUUUUUCAUUGUUUUUAAUUUUUUUUAUAAAUAAUUGAAAAUCAGCAUUAUUUUCUAUUUUAAAUUAUAAAUAAAGAAAAAUUAUGUUCAAAAACUAUUUUAAAAAACACUUUCUAAAAAAAUGGUAAUAUGAUUUAUAUUUUCUAUAUUUUCUUUUUGAAAAAACAUUUAAUUAAAAAAUGAAAAUUAUUUUUAAAAAUAAAAAUUGAAAACCUUGUUUAGUACUAUUUUUUUAUAUGAAAAUAAUAAAAAGAAUUAAAUUUCAUUCCUUGAUUAUCUAUUUUUAUUUUUUUUCCAUUAGUUAUUUUAAUAAUAAAAUAUAAAAAAUAUAAUAUGUUUACAAUUAAACAAAGAAAUUGAUCAAUUAUGUGUUUUUUGUGGGAAUAUCUUUUACAUGAAAAAUAAUUAAAUAACUAAAUUAUAUAUAUAUAUAUAUAUAUUACUCUUUUUAAUUUUAUUUUCUUUAUUUAUUUUUUGUCUAUUAGAAAAUUUUAAUAUAUCCAUAAUUAACAAAGUAAUAAAUCAAUUGUGCAUAUUUUAAUCUAUUAAAAUAAAUUAAUUUCUAAUUUAAAUAAAUAAAAUGAAAUAAGUAAAUAAAUUUAGGGUUAUUUCUAUUUUUUAACAUAUCUUAAAUUAAUAUUUUUUAUGGUUAAAUAAUUUUUUUUAAUUCCAAAAAUAAAAUUAAAUAAAUAAAUAAAUUUUAUAUUUUCUAACUGAUCUUAUAUUCAUAUUUCUUAUGGUUAAAUAUAUUUUUUAUUUUUUUCUUUAUUUUAAAAAAUAAAAGGAAAUAAAAAAAUAAACUUGGCUUAAAUAAUAGUUUUUAAUUAAUUUCUUUGUCUUAUUUUUAAUUACAUUUUGCAUUGAAAAUAAAAUAAAAUAACGUUUUAUUUGUUUUAAUUAUUUUAAAUGUCAAACUAUUAGGAACAUAGUUUACACACUCAUGUGGAUAUAAUUUAUACAUAUAUAUAUGAAGUUUAUACCAUUAUACAAAGUUAUUACACUAAUUAUAUAAGGGGUGUACAAAAUUGUACAUUUUGAACAACUUUCUUUUUUUUUUCUUGUCAUCUGAGAAUUAUACGUUCUCCUACCACAAAUUCAUAUAACAAUUCAAAUACUUACCUUAAUAAUGAUGUUUAGAGAAAUUUUUUUUUUUUUACGUUUUAUAUCAUUUUUUAAAUCAAACCAUUGGAAACAUGGUUCACACAUCAUAUGUGACAUAUAAUAUAUGCAUAUGGAUGAAAUUUGCAUCAUUGUACAAGGGUGUUAUACUAACUAUACAAGGUAAAUGUUCAAUUGGACAAGACAAAUAUUCUAACUAUAUAAAACAAAUGUUCUAACUCUACAAGGGGUAUACAAGGCUAUCAUUUGUGAAAGAUUUUAAUUAAUUUUGGACAAUUUUUUUUUUUUUUUUUGUCUUGUCAUCUAAGGAUUGCACACUUUUAAGGUACACAUUCCUCUAUUACACAUUCAUCUUAUACACUUUAUUUAACUCGCACAUGAUAAUUCGAAUACUUAUCCUAUUAAUGAUGUUUGAGAGAAAAUUUUGUUUUUCCAUCUUCCACUAUUUUUUGAAACAAACCAAUGAAAACAUGGUUAAACUACCUAUGAUUACACGUUAAGUAGAGGGUAUAAUGAAUUUGAGUCACUGUACAAAAUAUUUACACUAAGUGUACAUGACAAAUAUACUAAUUGUACAAGGGUGUACAAGACUAUUAUUUGUGAAGGAAUUUGAGUGAUUAUGAAAAACUUGUUUGUUUAUUUCCUCUAACCGAGGAUAAAUGACAUUCCUUACACACAUUGGUUAAACAUACAUUCAUUUCAUGCACUUUAUUUAACUUGUAUAUGGUCAUUUGAAUAGGUACCUCACUUAUGAUGAUUGUAAAACAAAAUUAUACAAUAAUUUUUAUUCUUUUUUAAAACCAAACCAAUGCAAACAUGGUUAACCGACCUAUUGUCAUAUAUUCAUGAGAUAAUGUAUAAAAUUUGAGUUAUUGUAUAAGGGUAUUACACUAACUGUACAAGACAAAUUUACUAAUCGUACAAGGGUAUACAAGACGCUUUUUGUUAAGAAUUUUAAGUGAUUUUGAAAAACUUUCUCAUUUGUUUCCACUCAAAGAUUUUUUUCCCCACUCAAAUUCUCUCACUCAAGAAUUGUUUCGAAUUUUAUUUUUAAAUUUUAUCAACAAAAUUUUGUAAUUGCAUAUUUUGUUUUUAUAGUUUUAGCAAUGUUCUUUCUUUCCACUUUUUUUUUUUGUGAAAUUUUAUCCAAAUGAAUCUAUAUUUAAAAUUAUAAUCAUAUUUAUCAAAUUUUUUACUAAGAUUAUCUUUAAUUCUUUUAAUAUAUUUAUAUUCAUUUAUUUAAAAAAUAAAAAACUAAUUUUUUUUUUGUAAACAUGUUCUAUUACCUUUCAAGAAUUAGAUAAGUUUGAAAGUCAAUAAAAAUAAUUAAAUACCACUUUCAAUAAUUUUUAGAUAAAAUUUUAUAUAAUAUAUUUUAUUUGAAAUUUAAUUUCUAAAGUUUAACUAAAAAAUUAUAUUUACAAUUUUUUUGUUGUGAGUCAAAAUACUUUACAUUAGUCUAUUUAGAUAAGAAAAAUUAUUAAUAUAAUAUUAGAAUUUUGUAUCUUAGUUAUUUUUUUCAAUAAAUUUAUCUUUUUAAAAAUUUUAAAAUAAAAACAUUAAAAAUUAAAAGCUAAAAGGAGAUAUAUAUAUAUAUAUAUAUAUAAUAAAGUGAAGUGAUAGUCAAUUUUUAAAUUUUUUAAAAUAUGGUUAAUAUAGAAAAUAUAAAAAAUAAUUAAAAAUAAGAAAAAAAUAUAAAUGAAAGGGUAAUAUAAAUUUAAAAUAAAAAUUAAAAAUUAAACUAAAAGAUAAAAAAAAUAUUUGGAUGAAAAAUCCCAAAAUUUUUAUCAUUGCUUAUAAUAAAAGCAAAAAGAUUCAAUAUCUUUAAAAAUGAAAAACAAACUUUUUAUUUGACAUAAAAUAGAAAUAUAGAUCGGAAGAAAAAGAAAAAAAAUUAGAAAUGAGUAAUACUUUAUAGGGAAUAGAAAAGGGAAAAAAAACACAAAAAAAAAUUAAAAUUCAUAUUUACUUGUGCCUAUGUAAGAGUUAAAGGUAUUUUAGGGAUUAAUAAAAAAUAAUAUCCUUCAUCUUAAUUUUCAUACUUUGUUUGGGUCUUGGAUUUAAAUAUGUAUGAUAUAUGAACUAAAUGUUAAUUUUUGGAUUCGGCUGAACCCAAAACACGAUUCUCCUUUUUAAUAAAAUCCUAUUAUGUAUUAUUCAUUCAUUGAAUAUGGUAGCUUAACAAUUAUUAGAGGUUUAAUAUAAUAUUGAAAUUUGUUCACGUUUUUUGUUAGGCGAGCUCACAGAAUUUAAGUCGAAUUGGCUUUUAGAUUGCCGCUUUGGAAACCAGCGGUUUCACUCCUUUUUUGGCGACUGCCACCAUGAUAAUACUUGGUUGACCAUGCAUGUGGGUGAAAACCCAAUCAUGCCCACAUCUAACUCCCUUUAGCAUUACAAAUCCAAGAACAAAGUAGUCAUUCCAAUUCAAAAGCAAACAAAGCCAUGAAUACUGCUGGCCACAGCCUCUGGUUUUUCGUAAACUUAGGGCACCAAAUCCAAACCCAUCUCUUUCCUAUAAAACCAACCCACCUUCACUUCAUCUUCUUCAUCACAACCCAAAACACUUUGAUUUACAGAGAGAUAUUCAAUAUCCCAUUCACUACUCAGUAUCAGUUCUUUUACUGUUGAUUGUUGUUUGAGUUUUGGAGGAAGAAAAUUAAGAAGAUGAGUCAUAUGGGGAAAGCUUGGAUAGUGGCAGCAAGCGUGGGAGCAGUGGAGGCACUCAAGGAUCAGGGCUUCUGCAGAUGGAAUUACACUAUGAGGUCUAUUCACCAGCAUGCCAGGAACAGCCUCAGGUCUUUUUCUCAGGUCAAGAAGCUCUCUUCCUCUUCCGCCAUGGUUUCUAGCAGAGUGAGAGACGAGAAAGCAAAGCAAUCAGAGGAGUCUCUGAGGACUGUCAUGUACCUGAGCUGCUGGGGACCCAACUGAGGAAGCAGAUCUGGAUAUGAAGAUGAUGAUCAUCCUACCACUGAAUCUUCCAUGGAGGGCAUAUCCCAAGAAAGUGAUAAGAACAAUCUUAGGCCCCUCUCUCAAGCUAGGAGCCUCUCUUCUUCUUCUUCCUAUAAGAUGGGUGUGAAGAGUAGUGGGGAAGAUGAGAAAAGGAAGAAGAAGACACAGAAAACAUUGGGGAAAGUCAUGCACUAGAGCUCCUGGGUCCCCAGUGGAGCAAUGGAUACAGAUUUUGCGGUGCAAUAUAAGAGUAAAAAUUUUGUAGACAACUGCAGAAAGAUGUGAUGAUCUUCAUGCGUACUUCAAAAAAAUGAAAUCAGAUAUCAGAUUUAUUAUCAUAAUAUUGUGUUGCCUUUUAUCAUUUUUUGCCAUGGGAUCACUAUCUUUGUUGGUUUUGAUUGAAUUUGAGCUUUAGCAGAUGGAGCAAUCAAGAGUUUGAAGCAAAAAGCACUUAAGAUCCACCUUCAGUGCAAUAUAUUUUGUUUUGAAUUGAUUGUGCAGGCAUUGUUCACCCCACAAUCCCUUCCUCCUCUCAGUCAAACUCAUAACUAUGGCUUGGCUCUAAUUUCAAUUCUCAAACAUCUUAACUGAAAAUCAUACUGAUGACUAAUAACAAUAAGUUCAACCUUUUAUGGCCUUUUUUUUUUUUCGGAGUGAUUGUUUGCGUGAUUCAUUUCAGACUUAAAAGAAUGAUGUUAUUGUGCCUAUACACAAAUUUUAUACUCAUGGUUUUAAUAGAAUCCCGUUCACUAUGUGAAAUUAAUAGUUUAAUAUAAUAUUAGAGUUUUAAUAUAUAGUAUUAUUUUAUAUUUUGAAAUUAGUAUUUUAAUAUAAUAUUAAAAUUUGUUCAGAUUUUCUGUUCGUUUUCUUGUUUAUUAAUCUUAUGGUUGGGUUUGAAAAAUGGAAAAUUUGAGAAAAAAAAAUGUGAGAAAAAAUUGAAAAAUAUACUUAAAAUUAAUAAAUUAUUUUUAGAUGCUUCAUUAAAUUUAUUAUAUUUUUAUAAAUUAUAAUUACAUUGAAUAAUUUAAAAAUAUAAAUUUUUUAAAUUAAUUUUAAUGACUUUUUUUUCCUUCUUUAAAAUUUUCAUGAUAAACUAGAAAUUGUAAAAUCAUUUGUGUUUUUUUCACCCUAUGUUGGACUUUUCCGGCCAAAUAUAGCUUAACUUUAGGGUUGUAAUUUGGACAAGUUGAUCGGCCUGAUCAUUGAUGGUCAAUCCAGACUCAAUCCAACCUUAUUUUUAAAAAAUAAAGUUAGUUAGUGGAGUUAAACUCAAAUUGAUUAGAUUAAACUUUAUAUUAAAACUUGGAUUGAUUAGGUUAAAUUUUAUGUUAAAAUUUGGAUUGAUUGGUUUAAAUUUCACCUUAAAAUUUGGAUUGAUUGGGUUAAACUUGAGUUGAUCCAAUUGAUUGAUUGUGUUGUAUAAUUCAAAAUUCAUUAAUAAUAGUUUUUUUUUUAAUUUUAUACAUUUAUACCAAAAUUUAGUUAGUAAUAAGACAAAAUUUCAAACAAUAAUAAUAAUAAUAAUAAUAAUAAUAAUAAUAAUAAACUCAUUUUUUUUUUCAAAAAAUGAAAAAAAUAUACUAAAUGAUCACAAUUUAAUAUUUUUCUUUAAAAUUUUAAAAAUAAAUAAAUAUUAUUAUAUUAGAUAAUAAAUAUUAUAAAAACAUUAAAUUUGGUUUGACUCGGAUUAUAGCCUAAAUCUAAUUCAAAUUGAAUUUUGGUUGUGAAAAAACUUAACCCAACCAAAUAUUGGAUUAAGUUGGGUCAACCCGUCAAAGUUAUACCCGUGACUUGUUUGGGCAUCUCACAGAAUUUAGUCAAACAGCUGAAAAUUAAUGGACUCCAGUGGGCAGAGUAAGUAAAGCAAAUUGUUUUGGAUUGCCGCAUUGUCACUUCUGAAACCAGCGGUUUCAGUCCUUUCACCCUUUUAGCAGGAAAACAGGGGGCACACCUCCUGGCAACUGCGACCAUAAUAACACUUAGUCGGGAAUAAAAAUGUAGCUGAAAAACCAAUCAUGCCCAAAUGUAACCUACUUUAGCAUUACAAAUCUAAGGACAAAGUAGUCAUUCCAAUUCAAACCAAACAAACCCAUGAAUACUGCUGGCCACAGCCUCUGGUUUUUGCCAAACGUUGGGCACCAAAUCCAAACCCAUCUAUUGCUAUAUAACCAACCCAUCUUCACUUCAUCUUCUUCAUCACAACACAAACACUUUGAUUUACAGAGAGAUCUUCUAUAUCCUAUUCACUACUCAGAAUCAGUUCUUUUUAUUGUUGAUUGUUGUUUGAGUUUUGGAGAGAGAAUUAAGAUGAGUCAUAUGGGGAAAGCUUGGAUAGUGGCAGCAAGUGUGGGAGCAGUGGAGGCACUCAAGGACCAGGGCUUCUGCAGAUGGAAUUACACUCUGAGGUCUAUUCACCAGCAUGCCAAGAACAACCUCAGGUCCUUUUCUCAGGCCAAGAAGCUCUCUUCUUCCUCUUCCGCCAUGGUUUCUAGCAGAGUGAGAGACGAGAAGGCCAAGCAAUCAGAGGAGUCUCUGAGGACCGUCAUGUACUUGAGCUGCUGGGGACCCAACUGAGGAAGAAGAUAUGAAGAUGGAUGAUCACCAGCAUACUAGUGAAGCAUCGAUGGAGGGCAUAUUCCAAGAAAGUGAUACGAACAACUUAGUUCCCUCUUUCAAGCUAAGAGCCUCUCUUCUUCUUCUCCUCCUUAUUCUUAUAAGAUGGAGGUGAAUAGUGGCGGAGAAGGUGAGAAAAGGAAGAAGACACAGAAAGUAAUGGGGAAAGUCGUGGGCUUGAGCUCCUGCGGUCCCAGUGAAGCAAUGGAUAGAGAUUUUGAGGUGUAACAUAAGAGUAAACAUUUUGUAGAGAUCUGCAGAUAGAUAAGAUGAUUUUAAUGUGUACUUAAAAAAAUGAAAUAAGAUUUCAGAUUUAUCAUCAUAAUAUUUGUGCCAUGGGACUAUCUUGGUUAGUUUUUUAGAGGGUUAAAAACUAAUUCUACUUUGGAAGAAAGGAAUCACCUUCAAAUUAAGCCAUCUUUCGAGCAGUUUGGAAAAACCCUUAUCUAAUAAAGACCUCUAUAAAGUACAAAAAGGUUGUGCUUUUACCAUAAAAAAGGUUGUUUCAAGCCCGAGAACAUCAGAAAUCAUCAUGCCAAGGUUGAUAGAGUUGCUAACAUACAGAUAAGAAAUUUUACCCAAAAAAAUAAAAUAAAAAAAUUAAAGCUUUGUCUUGAAAAGUCUCUCAAAUUCAGAUUCAUUUUUGGAAGAAGAAUAAGAGAUAUCUAAGUGAAGUGAGGGGUUCGUGGACAGGAAAUUUAAGAUAUUUUAAUAAUCCAAUAGUUUUAUUUGAUUUUUAUCAUAGUAUAAUAAAAUAAUUCUCUUUUAUUUGUGGAUGUAAGUUAAUCAAAACAUGUUAAGAUCUCGUGUAUUUUUGUGUGAAUUAUUUUAUUUUUACAUUCUAAAAUUAAUAUUUUUGUAUUAAAGCUUACAUUGAUACCAAAGCUAUGUUGAAGAUUUGUAAAAGAACAAAAAAAAAAAAAAAAAUAGUACACAAAAAAAAUGAUAAAAUGAAUUUUAAUUGAAAGUGAAGUUGAUUGUUUCCAAAACAUGAUACAAAAAAUAUGUUAUGAAAAGAUGAAAAAUUAACUUAAUGGAAUUUGAUGUCGAGAUUGUUCAAGAGUGCCUUAAAUUCUUAUUAAUAUUGAUUGAUUUUUAUAAGGAAUAUUGUAUAUAAUAUAUUUUAAGUUAAUAUAUUAUUAUAAUAUUAGAUUUCUUUAUUCAGUAAAGAAAGUUAUUAAAAAUAUUUUUAUAAAUAUUUUAAAUCUUAUAAGAUGAAGAUUAACUUGUAAAAAUUAUAUGAGAUGGAUAAAGAUGUAUAAAAAAAAUGAAAGAUAUCUUGAAUGAUGUAGUGAAAUGAUUCUCUCAUUCGCAUAUAUAGGCAUGAUUCAUCGAAUCAUAUUAAAACCUCAUGUAUUUUCCGGUGGAUUGUUUUAUUUUUAUGUUUUUAAACCAAUAUGUUUGUGUUAAGAUUUUCCCUUACCCAACACCUUCAACCCUCUCUUUUAUUUAUUUUUUUCAUUAUAUUUAUAAAGAGGUUUAUCCAAAGAUCUCAAUCCCUUGUCCUCAUCUUACCGUCUUUGAUCUAUCCGAGGAAUUUUAGUUUCUUUGGUAAUGAUUAAUUUUGAAUCUUACAAAACAAAACAAUCAAAAGUUUGAAACAAAGCAAGAUGCAUCAUUUAGACAAUUGGUUCAAAGGCUUCAUGAUAGACGUUACAUCCCAACAGUCAUUUAUGCUCUUAUAAGUCAAAUUCAUAAUCCAAUGUAUUAUUAGUUCAUUAUGUGAAAUUAAUAACUCAGCUAACAUUAGAGGUUUCAUAAAACACUAGAAUUUGUUCACAUUUUUGUUAGGUGAGCUCACAGAAUUCAAGUCCAAUUGGCAACUACUCCAAAAGUGAAUGUUAUUGAACUCCAAUAAGCAACUUGUUUUAGACUGCCGCAUUGUGGCUUUGGAAACCAGCGGUUUCACUCCUUUCACUCCUUUAGCAGGAAAACAGGGGACACAUCUUUGGCAGCUGCCACCAUGAUAAUUCUUAGUAGGGACCACACAAGUGGGUGAAAACCCAAUCAUACCCACAUCUAACUCCCCUUAGCAUUACAAAUCCAAGGACAAAGUAGUCAUUCCAAUUCAAACCAAACAAACCCAUGAAUACUGCUGGCCACAGCCUCUGGUUUUUUCCUAAAGUUUGGGCACCAAAUCCAAACCCAUCUCUUUUCUAUAAAACCAACCCACCUUCACUUCUUCUUCUUCAUCACAACACAAACACUUUGAUCUACAGAGAGAUCUUCAAAAUCCCAUUCACUACUCAAAUCGGUUCUUUUUAUUGUUGAUUGUUGUUUGAGUUUGGAGAAAGAAAAUUAAGAAGAUGAGUCAUAUGAGGAAAGCUUGGAUAGUGGCAGCAAGUGUGGGAGCAGUGGAGGCACUCAAGGACCAGGGCUUCUGCAGAUGGAAUUACACUAUGAGGUCUAUUCACCAGCAUGCCAAGAACAACCUCAGGUCCUUUUCUCAGGCCAAGAAGCUCUCUUCUUCCUCUUCUGCCAUGGUUUCUAGCAGAGUGAGAGAUGAGAAGGCAAAGCAGUCAGAGGAGUCUCUGAGGACUGUCAUGUACUUGAGCUGCUGGGGACCCAACUGAGGAAGAAGAUAUGAAGAUGGAUGAUCACCAGCCUACAGCGAAGCAUCCAUGGAGGGCAUAUUCCAAGAAAGUGAUAACUCAUAAGUGGAGUGGAGAUCAGUUUCAUGGAAUUUUUCCUAGAAGACAAACAAGGUGGAAAUCCAGAAAUUAAUUAGAACCAACUGCUAAUAGUUGGCGUCUCUGAGUUAGGAAUUUGUUAGCAAAAGGCAGCUUUGGUAUAUAUACUAAUAUACGAGAUGAUUUCAAUGUAUAUUUGAAAUAGAAAUUAGAUUUAUUAUCAAAACGAUUGCGUUGUCUCGUCUUUUAUAUUUUCCAGAUCCAAACAGAUCCUAAAGGCCCUAAAAUUUUUGUUGUAUCAUUUUUAUGCUAAAAAAUUACACAUAGAAAAAUUAACUAAAUCAUAAGUAGCUUCUAACCAUGAAUUGUUUUUUUUUUUUUAAGCCUAUAAAUUUUAUGCUUUAGAUACAUGCAUUAAAAAUCUAUCUAAACCAUAUAUAAUUAUUUUAAUGCAGUUAUAUAACUGAUAAAAAUAGAAAUAAAUUUAAUAAAUAUAAAAUAAUAAAAUAUUAGGAUAAGUAUUGAAGAUCAAUUUUCAGUCUUCAAACUUAAUCGAACUUGAAAGUGGAUGGCGAUGGAUACAAUGAUUUGAGCCAGGUCUUAAAUCUUUAACUUAAUGGAGCAAUUAUUGUAAUCUACUUAAUAAUUGGUCAGUAUAAAAUUAAAUAAUAAUAAAAGGAGAAAGAAAAGGACACGUGUUUGACGUGGACGUUGCCAAAACAGCGGUUUCAGACAGGCCUUUUACUGCCCGAGCGCCAGUGGAUUAACAAAGAAAACAAUGAGCACAUCAGUGGAAGCGGCACCAGCUACCAAGUAUGCAGCUGAAAUGCCCCUUGGAAUUACAAAUCGAAGGACAAAAGAGUCAUUCCAGACCAACCCAGAAAUACAGCUGACCCCUGCCUCUGGUUUUUCCCCAAACCUUGUGCCUUUCUCUAUCUAUAUAAUCCAGCCCACCUUCUCUCCAUCUUCUUCAUCGCAACACAAACGCUUUGAUUUACUGAGAGAUCUUCCAUAUCAAUUCACUACUGAGAUUGUUGUUUGGGCUUUGAGUUCUUGGGAAAGAAAGUUAAGAAGAUGAGUCAUAUGAGGAAAGCUUGGGUGGUGGCAGCAAGCGUGGGAGCAGUGGAGGCACUCAAGGAUCAGGGCUUCUGCAGAUGGAACUACACUCUGAGGUCUAUUCACCAGCAUGCCAAGAACAACCUCAGGUCCUUUUCUCAGGCCAGGAAGCUCUCUUCUUCCUCUUCUGCAAUGGUUUCUAGCAGAAUGAGAGACGAGAAGGCAAAGCAGUCAGAGGAGUCUCUGAGGACUGUCAUGUACCUGAGCUGCUGGGGACCCAACUGAGACGUUCCACAUUUCGAGUGAUCAAGAAGAAGAUGAUGAUGACGAAAGAUUCAUGGAGGGAGCAUGUGAAGGAAGUCAUGAGAAGGGGAGAUGAAAACCAUUAAUGGAGAAGAGAGAUCCAUCUGUGGAUGAAGGCAGUGGAAAUUUGGAGCCGAGUGAGUCAUGGGUAAUGGUUCUUAUGAGUUGGGAAAUUAUCAGCAAAGUGCUUUCUCAACCUCAGAUGCUUUGGGAGGAAUGGGAAUUUACCAGAAAAUUGCAAGUACAUAUGUAUGAUGCUUUUUAUGCAUAAUUUGUCCGAAAGCAAUAAUAAUCAGAUUAAUUUUCAGCUAUACUUCUUCUGAGAUAUGGAAUUUGUUGGUUCUGAUUUAAUUUCAAUGAAAUUGAUUAUUUUGUAAUUCUAAAGAAAAUUGGAUUAUUCUGUAAAUUCUAUUAUUUUAUUGUUGUAUAAAGGUAAAUUCUUCUAUCAUUUGUUUUGAUAUAUUCAAAAUUAGACACAGAAAUUAAAAAAAAAAAAAAAAAAUCCACUAUUCCAAGCCAACCCGCAGCCCAAGCUGACGGGUGCAUCCAACCAGGUAGCCAUGUUCAGGGAAAACAGCGGUUUCACCCACAUUUUUACUCCUUGCGCAAUGGAAAAAAAAAAAGAAAAGCGAUUAAAGCCCAAAAUGCCCAUGUAUCUCUUCAUUUGCCAUUAGAAGUAUAUGCACAAAACAGUCAUUCCAUCCACCCCUCACCAACCCAAAAAUCCUGGUAACCACAGCCUCUGGUUUUCCCCCACACCUAUGUCUUUUAAACAAUGGGCACACUACUGCCGACUGCCCCUACGCUUACUGCUUACAUUAGUUGAGGAUGAGUGAUGGGGCCAAGGCCAACUAUGUAGGUGAAUUCCCAAUUAUACCCACCUGAAUCCGCCCUCAAUCUGACCAAUCCGAGGACAAACGUAAUAAUCAUUCCAAUUCAGAUCAAGCAAACCCAUGAAAACUGCUGGCCACAGCCUCUGGUUUUUUCCCAAACUUUGGGCACCCGAUCCAAACCUAUCUCUUUCUAUAAAACCAACCCACCUUCACCUCAUCUUCUUCAUCACAACACAAAACACUGGAUUUACAGAGAGAUCUUCAAUAUCCAUUCACUACCCAGAAUCAGGUCUUUUUAUUGUUGAUUGUUGAUUGAGUUUUGGAGAAAGAAAAUUAAGGAGAUGAGUCAUAUGGGGAAAGCCUGGAUAGUGGCAACAAGCAUGGGAGCAGUUGAGGCAUUGAAGGAUCAGGGCUUCUGCAGAUGGAAUUACACUAUGAGGUCACUUCACCAGCAUGCCAAGAACAACCUCAGGUCCUUUUCUCAAGCCAAGAAGCUCUCUUCUUCCUCUUCUGCCAUGGCUUCUAGCAGAGUGAGAGAAGACAAGGCAAAGAAAUCAGAGGAGUCCUUGAGGGCUGUCAUGUACUUGAGCUGUUGGGGACCCAACUGAGACCCACCAAAAAUUAGUAGAGAGUUGUAAACAUGUAUGAUGAUUUUUUUAUGUAUUUUUUUGAAAAAAAAUCAGAUUAGGUAUCAGAAAUUCAGAAUGAUUGUUUUUUGCACUUUGUUUUUACAUGCCAUGGGAUUUGGAGUUGGUUAGUUUUGACUGAGCAUGAAAGGCAGGCCAGGGUUUUAAAGAAUUGAAUCAUUCACUGGAGAUGGAAUCUCUCUCAGAGAAAUCCUUAUUCUCUACAACCUUGGCAAAUGGCAAGCCACUAAGAGGGAAAACACAAAAAAUAAAAAUAAAAUAAAAUAAUAAUAAUUGUAGAGGAGAUAUUUGCCAAUAUAUAAAACUUAUAUUUUUGUAUUAUUAUUGAAUAAAUUAGAUUUUAUCAUACACUUAAAUAAUGGAGAUACAAAUUCAAUAUAAUACUUUUUUUUUGGUUAAUUUUAAAAGGUUUCUAAGGAAAUUAAGUCUUAAUCAAACAACUUUUAUUGAUCUUUUACAAUAUGAAUUUAUCUCUUUAAAAUAAUUUUAAUUUAGCAUUUAAAAUUUUCCGUUGAACUUUUUCACCAAAUGAGAAGUAAAAACGUAACAGAGGAAUGCAGGACUUUAAAGUGAAGUUGUCUUUUUUUGAACAAGCUAACUUUAAGUCUCGUUUUUUAAGAGAACUUUUCAUAGAAUUUGAAUUAUUUAUUUAACGAUAAAUUUUCAUGAUUUUUUUUUUAAAUUUACACCAUUUUGAAAGGGAAACUUGUAUUUUGAUGGAGCAAUUUGGAAAAUAUAUGAUUUUUGGAAUCCAACUUCACGAAAUCUGAAAACUAACUUUUAAUGUGAAAAAUUAUAUAUUUUUCAUGCACUCUAAGUCGGUUGCAUAUUUUUGUGCUAAGAUUAUUUUUAGGUUUAGUGAUUUUCCAAAAUUAUCCUUUUUGUUUUUUUUUUUUUUCUCUUGUACCCAUCAUCUGCCUCUCCCUCCCUCCCCAGUGAAAUUGGUUGGUAUUUUGCCGACGUCAUCACCAACCGCCACCCACACUUCUCUCCCGUUGGCAAUCUCCUCCUUUCUCCAUUUCCUUCCCUCUUUCUCUCUCUCUUUCAUUCCCUUUCGACAUCACCAAGAGAGAAGAAGGCGGUGGCAAUGGUGGAGAACCGGGGUUGGAGGGAAGAAGGUGCGACUGGUUGCCAUUGACGGUGGCAACCAGUAACUCUCGCAGUCAUUGACAACGGUGGUGGUGGAAGCACCUAAGUGGGGAGAGACGUCAAGGAGAGGUGGGAGGGAGGCGGACGAGGGGACCACGUCUUUCCCUACGCUGGUGCUUUCGCCGUCGCCACUGUCAAUAAUCGUGAGAGUUGUUGGUUGCUGUUUGUCGCGCCUUCUUCCCUCUAGCCCUGGUUCUCCACCAUUGCCACUGCCCUCUUCUCUCUUGAUGAUGUCGAAAGGAAAUGAAAGAGAUAAAGAAAGAGGGAAGGGAAUCGGAGAGGGGGAAAUUAAUGAUCGGAGAAAUGUGUGAGUGACGGCCGAUUUCACAAGGGAGGGAGGAAGAGGCGGAUGGUGGUGGGUAUAGGAGGAAAAUAAACAAAAAGGAUCACUUUGGAAAAUCACUAAAUCCAAAGGUAAUCUCGACACAAAAUAUGUAGCCGGUUCAGAGUGCAUGAAAAAUAUAUAAUUUUCCAUAUUGAAAAUUGAAUUUUAGAUUUCAUAAAGUUGGAUUCUAAAAACCAUAUAUUUCUUAAAUUUCCUCAUCAAAACAUAAGUCUGCAUUUUGAAAAGGAAAAACCCAAUGAAAUAUGUUCGUACUUCGUAUAGACCGUGGAGUGGGGUGUGAAAAAAACAAAGAAAUAGACACGUGCUUGAAAUCCGGCCGUGCACAUUACCCCAUUGGAAAACAGCGGUUUCAUCCUCCUUACUCUUUGAGCGUUGAGUGGAUUCACAAACAAAACAAUGGGCACGUACUGCGGACUGCCCCACACCAACACUGAGGGCCAACUAUGUAGGUGAAUACCCAAUUAUACCUACAUGAAUCAGCCGUCAAUCUUACAAAUCCAAGGGCAAAGUAGUCAUUCCAAUUCAAACCAAACCAAGCCAUGAUUCAUGAAAACUGCUGGCCACAGCUCCCGGUUUUUCCCUAACUUUGGGCACCAAAUCCAACCCAUCUCUUGCUAUAUAACCAACCCACCUUCACUUCAUCUUCUUCAUCACAACACAACUACCUUGAUUUACAGAGAGAUCUUCUAUAUCCAUUCACUACUCAGAAUCACCUCUUUCUAUUGUUGAUUGUUGUUUGGGUUUCGGAGAAAGAAAAUUAAGAUGAGUCAUAUGGGGAAAGCUUGGUUAGUGGCAGCAAGUGUGGGAGCAGUGGAGGCACUCAAGGAUCAGGGCUUCUGCAGAUGGAACUACACUCUGAGGUCUAUUCACCAGCAUGCCAAGACCAACCUCAGGUCCUUUGCUCAGGCCAAGAAGCUCUCUUCUUCCUCUUCUGCCAUGGUUUCCAGCAGAGUGAGGGAGGAGAAGGCCAAGCAGUCAGAGGAGUCUCUGAGGACUGUCAUGUACUUGAGCUGCUGGGGACCCAACUGAAGAAGAAGAUAUGAAGAUGGAUGAUCAUCAGCCUGCACUUGAAGCAUCCAGAGAGGGCAUAUUCCAAGAAAGUUAUGGAAAAUUAAGAUGAAGAAACUGCAGUGAAGCAAUUUCAUGGAAUUUUUGCUUGGAGACUCCCGAAUUACAACCAAUUGCUCAGGGUUGGGAAAAUUGGAAUUGCUGUAAAUUGUGACUGGUUCUUUGUAAAACCCAAAUCAUUUAGCUAGAAAUUGAAAAUACAUUUUAAUUUAAUUUAUAGUUUCUCUGUUAGAAUAUUAGACCCAAUUCCUAAAAAGCUUGUCAGUCUUGUAUUAGACCCAAGCUCAAGCGCAUUAAGAAAAAAUAUGGCAGAUUUGGUCACAUAGGGGAUGAAGAGGUGAUAAAGUAGAUACAACGCCCAAAAUUAAACUCUCAAUCAAUUUAAUUGAACAAAUAAUCAUAAAAGAGAUUUUUUAAAUUUAUGAUUUUUGAAAAAGAAAAUUCCAGUGAAAUAUGUUCAUGUAGACUGUGUGGUAGGAUGAAGACUAAACAAAGAAAUGGACACGUGGUUGAAGUCCGGCCCUACACAUUGCCCCAUUGGAAAACAGUGGUUUCAUCCUCCGUACUCUUUGGGCGUUAAGUGGGUUCACAAACCAAACAAUGGGCUGCCUUAACGUGGUGUUUAUUUUUUUACUUAAUUCUAAAUAGAAUCUUAAUAUUUAAUCGUAUUAAAUAUUAGAUUAUUUAUUUUUUAGUAUUUUAUUUUUAUUAAGUAUUAAAAAGUAAAAAAAAUCAUUGUGUUAUUUUUUCUAUUUAGAAAAAAUUAUAUAUUUUGAUUUUUUCUAUUUAGUAAAAAGUUUAUAAUAAGUCAUUAAAAAGUAAAAAAACAAACCAUCUAAAUUCUAAAACUAAAUGAUUUUUAGCAAAAAGCCAAAAAAACAAACACCACUUUAGACUGAGGACAAACUAUGUAGGUGAAUAUCCCAUUAUACCUACAUGAAUCAGUGGUCAAUCUUACAAAUCUAAGGACAGAGUAGUAAUUCCAAUUCAAACCAAACAAAGCUAUGAGAACUGCUGGCCACAGCCUCUGGUUUCCCCAAAACUUUGGGCAGUAUUCCUCAAAGAAUCAAGUGGGCUAGAUUUAACAACUUCGUCCACCAUGGUUAGAUUAUUGGGGGCUAGAGUAAAUAACUUCAUCCACCAUGGUUAGAUUAUUGGUAUCUCGAUGGGAGAAGUUGUUUUGAUGGAAAAACAUUGUAUUUUAUUAUUUUGUAAAUUUUAUCAUCACUCAUAUAUAUUAUUUUUUAUUUAAAAUUAAAUAAAAAAUUAAAAUUCUUAGAAAAUACGAAAAGAAAGUAUAUCACAAUCUUUAUUUUCUAUUCUAAAAUUAAAAAAUAAAAAUAAAAUUAUGAAGAAAAAAGUACAUUCCAACUUACAUUAAUUAAGGGAUGAUAUACUCUGCAAAUAAAAAAUAUAAAAAAUAAUUAAAGGUUAAAUAAAUCACUUAAUAAAUCGGUAGUAGGGGUUGAUGGUUUCAUUAUUAGACUAUAACAAGGAUUUUCAUUUUCAUUUUCUUUUUAAAUGCAUUUCAUGGUGGUGUAGAAUUUUUUUGUAUAAGGGUUUUUAAAUUGUAAUAUAGAUUAUAUAUAUAGUUGUGUUUUGUCCUAAAUUCUGACUUCCAAGUUUUCAACAUUAUAUAAAAAUCCCUAAAAUCACCUACUUCGUACGUUUUCUAACAUUAUAUAAAAAGCCCUGAAUUCACCUAUUAGAAAAAUGUUAUUUGGUGCGCUAUCAUUACCAUGACCUCAACCUCGUGCAAAGAUAUCGAGUGGUUACUAAUAGUAAAAAAUAAAUAAUAAAAACAAAAUAUAUUCAUUAUUAUUAUUAUUAUUAUUUUGUACUUUUACCAUCCAUUAUUCACAUCUUAGCAUAUGAUAGAAAAGAUGAUAAAAGAUUAUUUAUGUUGUAUGAUUUUAAGUGAAAUGAUCAAAAUAUUUAAAGAAAAAAUUAAUAAUUCAUGAAGAAUUUUUGGUAAAUUUAUAAAUUUGUAAUAAAUAUUGAUAAAUGAUAAACAAAGUAGUUUUUAAAGUGGUUGCAGUAGUUAAACAUUGUAUCUUAUUAUGAUUUUCCACCUUCAAAACUUAAUAAUAAAAUUUCAUAACAAAUUUUUAUCUAUUUGAAACUUUUGAAAUGUGGAAUCUUUUCUUGGACAUUUUUAUAUAUACAUUUGUGAAUUUUAUCUUUAUUUUUUAUUUAUAAAAUUAAAGGAUAAAAUUAAAAUGUUAAAAAUAAAAGAGAAGUAUAUCCCAACUUGCAUCAAUUAAGAGAAGAUAUAUAAAGCACAUGAAGAAUGCAAAAAAAAUUAAUGAUAAAAUAAAUCACUUAUUAGAUAGUAUUUAAUGAUUUACAUUAUUAGAUUGUAGAAAUGAGUUAUAUUUUUAUUUUUGUGUAUAGGGGAUUUUAAAUUAUAAUAUAUAUUUUUAUUUUUGAGUUAGUUUUCUUUGUUGAUACAUAGUUUUUUUUUUGUCUUGGAUAUUGUGUUAUCAGCAGUUUUAAAAGAAAUAAAAAUUAUUUAUCCCACAUCGAUUCAAAACUAAAAAUAUUAUAUAUAUUUAUUAAAACUUUGAUACCCUUAAAAAAUACAAGUACAACCAAUAAGCAAGCAUAGGGAUGACAACGGGGCGGGUAUGGGACAUGCCACCCCUACCCCAUUUCCAUCCCGGUUAUAUAUUUUUUUGCCCAUCCCUGUCCCAAACUCGGGGCGGGGCGAGUUGGUGUCCCCCUUACCUGUUUACAAAAGAGCUGAUAAUCUCAUCCCCAUCCCAAAUGUAUUUUCGGGAAUUAUGCUUUUACAAAACAUGGGUCUCUGAAAUUUCAAUAAACGUUAUAUGGGUUAUCAUAAACACAUUUAAUCAAGCAUUUGUUGUGCAACAAAACUACAAACUGCACAUAUGAGAACAAAAUGCACAGAUCUACAAAUAAACAACCCAAAAAAUCUCAAAUCCAUAAACCAAAACCAGAAAAAUAUGAAAAACAAGACAUUCUAACAAAGCCUCAAAACUUAGGGUUUUCUUACCUGGAAAUGAGGAAUCCAUAGAAACCCUAAUAAUUUGUUGUCUACGAAUUUGGUUUUUGGUUUUUAGAGCAAAAAUUGUGCUUUUAGGGUGAAAUGGGAAGAAGCAAUUUAGGAAUAAAUGAGAAAACGGGAAGAAAUGAGAAAACGAAAGGCCUUUUACGAGCAAAAGAACCCUGAGCAAUUUAGGAAGAAAUGAGAAAACGGGAAGAAAUGAGAGCGAAAGCCCUCUAACUCUCUCAUGAGCAAAAUAACCCUAAAACUUGAGGAAGAAAUGAUUAUAUGUGUAGGACUUUUUGGGUAUUUUGUAAUGACAUAAGGGUAAAUUGGUAAUUCACAUACGGGGCGGGGCAGAAACUGCAAAACCCAUCCCUGCCUUAAACCCAAUUCGGGUUUUUAUAUAUUCCCCAAACCCUUUUUAUACCCGAAUAGGAUAUUCUCAUACCCGUCCCAAUAGGGACGGGGCGGGUGACCCGAAUUACCCGGAAAAUUGUCAUUCCUAAGCAAGCAUUGAGCUAAAUCCUAAUCUCACAUUCCUACUUGAAACUUUACACUCACAUAAAAACAACUCACCACUUGACUCGAGGGACUAUUCCGUAACUUCUCACUACCAACAACCAGGCACUAUUCAACCUCUCGCUCACUUAUAAAUUCACUCCCUACCUGCAUAUUCAAAACGUAUCUCACUACUAUUCUACUCUACUAUUCUACUUUUCGUGGUUUCAUAUCUCACUAUUAUUCCACUUUUCGCGGUUUCAUAUCUCACUACUAUUCGCGUGUUCAAAGUGUAUCCCUCCCUGAAUUAAUUGUGAAUUAAUUUAGGCUUCAAAGUGUGUUGCUCUACAAUAUCCCUCCCAGUCAGGCCUCAAAGUAAGAACAACAACAUCUACAAUAUCUGCCAUGGCCACACAACCAAGGCAUGCGGUAUGCCGCAUUUUCUCAUGUCCUUUUCCCAUUUUGUUCCCUCUUUUCAUCUCCAUUUUGUUUUCAAUAUCCCCUUACCUUACUCAUAUUCUCUAAAAUUAGAUAAAAUUAUUAAUUUGAUCAUAUUUAUCUAACAUUUUUAAUUAAUACUACUAGUAUCUUAUUUUCAUAAAUCUAAUUGAAUUUCCUACUUAUUUAUUUAUUGUUUUCAUGACAAAACUUCAUCAACUUUCAUAUCUUUCCUUACAAUUCUGAGUUCAACUGUCCUUGCGAAAUACCAAUAUGAGAAUGUUUCCCCAUUUGCCCAACACAACAUAGGUAUGCAAAUCUCCUUAUUUGCAUCAUUUAUAUAUUUCAUGAUGGUUGUGGUUUAUGAAAUCCUUGAUUCUAAUGGAACUAUCAAAAUUGAAGAAGAUGGAAGAUAUCUCCUUAUUUUGAGUCAUGUUCGGUUCUUAAGUGGAACAGCAGCUGCAACUUUGUUGAUCCUGAUCUUGAUCCCAUAUUUUGGAUGGUUCUUUCUGAUCAUGUGGACCAUGUUCUUAGUGAAAAUAACAUGCUAUUGGGAUAAAACAUUUUAUAACUUUGACAUGUUCAAGAAUAAAAAAAAAUGCCAAUGAUAGGGAAGGAGGACAAGAGGAGCAACGACUCCAAGUUUAGAGUAGGUUUGGUCCAUCAGAGGUUAUUAGCAAAAAACAUAUUUUCUUCUUGUACUUUCGAAAGUGUUAAAUAAGUGUUAUAUUUUGAGUAAUGAGAGUAUUUUUUUCCUUUUUUCUUUUUUUCUAAUACAUUAUUGGUGAUUAUUCUUCGUCGGAAUACCCACAAGGCUAUUAGAUGUUUCAUUGCAAAAUAUGGUUUUAUAUGAUAGCAUUACGAUUGAACUAAUAAAACAUAUUUUUUGCAUAUUGUUUAGUUGGACCCCCCGACUACCUCUCGGUAAUAUCCUCUUAACAUAGGAAGUAUAAACUAAUAGCAAGUGCUAAUCUUUCCCAUUCUUACACAAGAAAGACCCAAGGAGAAGGUAUAUUUAGAAAUUGCAUAUCUAUGUUCCCAAACAAUAGAAAAUUCAAUAUAUGGCACUUCACUCUCUACUUUUCUUUCCCACAUUUUCUCAUAACCCAAAUAUGCUCACCUCUCAUUCUAAGAUCCAACCAUUGAAAAACAAUUACAAAAAUCCUAAUAAAAGAGAUAGAUCAUACUACAAUUACACUUUCUUACAAGAAAUUGAAGUGUAGAAGGUAUAACAAUUGAGUGAAACAAAUAAAAACCAACCUCCUUUAACACACAUGCUAAUGAAAUACUUGCAGAGACACUUUAAAUUUCUCCAGACUCCAAGAGAUAUUGAACAACAGCCUCGACACCUGCAGCGACGAGACCAUCACCUGAUACGAUAUAAUGCACAAACUCGGCACGGAAUCAAUAAGACUUGGUUGGAUUACAAAUUUUUUUUCAAACAUUCUCUUUUUCUUUCCAAUCACAAUAAAACAUCAGAAUAUUUUCAAAAAUAAAAAUCAGAAAUUCACCUUUCAAAAGCAAACACCCAUGAUUCUGAAAUUGGAGCUUUUAACCUAAAAGAUCAAAGAAGAUGAAGAAGAAAAAACCCAACCCCUGACUCGUUCGGAAAUAAGAGGAGAAACCACCGAAGGAUGAGGGCAUGAUUUAGGAUUUACUUACUUGAUUUUCCUAAAAAUCGAGAAUCAUCGGAGGGUGGAGGUUUGGUGUCAACGGUGGUAACUCGUCAAGUGGAUUGAAUCUUACAACAGCGACGUCGGCCAGGCAACCCUCUCACAGUCAGAUUGCUCUCCCUUCGGGGUCUUGCAUAGUUGCAAAUUUGCAAUUGUAGGUGGUGUCAUCUGUCGACGGUCUUGACAACAAUGGUGUUGUGCGAGUAUGGAAGAUUGGGAGCCUAAAUUGGUAAAGUAAAAAAUGCAUUUUAUAUGGAUUUACAUUGAUGAUAUGAGAUAGGAUUUGAUGGUAACAUAUUAAAUUAAAUUAAAUGAUUGAGUCCAAAAUGAUAUGGAUGGUAUGAGAUAGGAUUUAAUGAAAAAUUAAAUGUAUUUAUAUGGCAGAUUGAGAAUUAAAUCCACAAUUCUUAGUAGUAUUAUAAAUGGCUUUGAGUUAAAUGUGAAAAAGUUUUAUUAAUUUUUUAAGCUUAUUAAAUUUAUAUCUAUUUUUUAUAUAUAAUUUACAUAAUAUUUUUAUAAUUUUUUGAAAUUUCUAAUUAUCUUAUUUUGCGUGUUGCUUGAUAUUGAAUCAAGAUGUUGAGACCAACAUAUCUCGGGAACAUCUGAGUUAAUGAUCGAUAUCGCGACUUUGAACCAUGCUCGUCUCCAAUCCCUUAACAAUGAUGAAAAAUGAGGGCAACACAAUUACCCUUUUUAUUAUUAUCUGUUCAAAAUAAUACAUGCAUUAUAAUAUAAUUUUUUAAAAAUAUUUUACAAAAAAAUAUAUGUGGACCCCGUAUUUAGGCUCAUGCGUUUCCACUCGAUGGCGAGCUUGAUUUUAUUUUGAAAAUAAUUUUAUUUAUUAGAAAAUGACUUGGAGUCGCCACUUAUUUUUGUUUUAUUUUUAAAGGGUAAACAAAAUAAGAAAGAAAACCCUAAGUGUGACUCCUUAUUUUGGAAAAGGUGGUCUGUAAAAAAUUGGAUCGAGUUUGGGGGUCAGGUUACUUAUCGGGAAGGUACGGUAAAGACCGUAGCACCCCUUUAAGUCCCCAAAGUCGGGUCUCUACUAAUAAAAUGAAGUUGACGCAACAAUCAAUAAUAAAAACAAUGAAUACCGACAUGAUCACAUAUUGAAAGCCAAAACAUAUAAGGAUGAUGGUUAGAGUGAGAAAAAAUGCGUACCUGAUCAGCAAGCGGCAACGCGCUAUCAUAAAAUGAGGUUAGUGCACAAAUAAUGGACAUAAAACAUAGCUCACAAGCCACUGAAUCGAGUACAAAAUCAUCAGAUAUCACAAUUAAGUCAAAUUUAUUUUUCGGGGAAACAAUCACUGAUGUUGGGCCUUCACCAAAACCCAAUUUAUUCCUGUAUGAAUUAAUUUCGUAAAUUCCAUCACUUGGAAUUACAGAAUUUAAUUCACACUUAUUUUUAAAAUGUUUUAGAAAUCAUGGAAGUUAUGGAAAUCCAUGCCGAAGAAAAUGGCAACAAAAUUUUAUUAAAAAUGUGAUUUUUGGGACUUGAAAGCUCUAAGGAUGAAGAAUCUGGAAAAUAAUGCGAAAAAAAUGAGAUUUGGAAAAAAAUAUUUUUUUAAACCAAGAAUGGUGAAAAUGAGAAAAAAAAAAAAAAAGGAAGUGACACGUGGCAUAAGGGUGGCCAUGCAAAGGUGGCCAUGCACCAUUCCAAACAAAUCUAACCCCACUUGCUUUUAUUUGAUCCUGAUCUUAAUCCCAUAUUUUGGAUGGUUCCUUCUGGUCAUGUGGACCAUGUUCUUAGUUAAAAUAACAUGCUAUUGGGAUAAAACAUUUUAUAACUUUGACAUGUUCAAGAAUAAAAAAAAUGUCAAUGAUAAGGAAGGAGGACAAGAGGUGCAGCGACCCCAAGUUUAGAAUAGGUUUGGUCCAUAAGAAGUUAUUAACAAAAAAACAUAUUUUCUUCUUGUACUUUUGAAAGUGUUAUAUUUUGAGUAAUGAGAGUAUUUUUUUUUUCCUUUUUUCUUUUUCUUUAAUACAUUAUUGGUGAUUAUUCUUCGCUGGAAUACCCACAUGGCUAUUAGAUGUUUCAUUGCAAAUAUGGUUUUAUAUGAUAGAAUUAUGAUUGAACUUAUAAAACAUAUUUUCUGCAUAUUGUUUAGCUGGGCCUCCCAACUACCUCUCGGUAAUAUCCUCUUAACAUAGGAAGUAUAAACUAAUAGCAAGUGCUAAUAUUUCCCAUUCUUACACAAGAAAGACCCAAGGAAAAGGUAUAUUUAGAAAUUUCAUUUCUAUGUUCCCAAACAAUAGAAAAUUCAAUAUAUGGCACUUCACUCUCUACUUUUCUUUCCCACAUUUUCUCAUAACCCAAAUAUGCUCACCUCUCAUUCCAAGAUCCAACCAAAAUUGAAAAACAAUUACAAAAAUCCUAAUAAAAGAGACAGAUUAUACUACAAUUACACUUUCUUACAAGAAAUUGAAGUGCAUAAGGUAUAACAAUUGAGUGGAACAAAUAAAAACCAGCCUCCUUUAACACAUUUGCUAAUGAAAUACUUGCAGAGACACUUUAAAUUCCUCCAGACUCCAAAAGAUACUGAUCAACAGCCUCGGCACCUGCAGCGACGAGACCAACACCUGAUACGAUAUAAUGCACAAACUCGGCAUGAAAUCAGUAAGACUCAGUUAGAUUACAGAAAAAUUUUCAAACAUUCUUUUUUUCUUUCCAAUCAUAAUAAAACAUCAGAGUAUUUUCAAAAAUAAAAAUCAAAGAUUCCCCUUUCAAAAGCAAACACCUAUGAUUCUGAAAUUGGAGCUUUUAACCCAGAAGAUAAAAAAAGACGAAAAAGAAAAAACCCAACCCCUGACCCGUUCGGAAAUAAGAGGAGAAACCACCGAAUGAUGAGGGCAUGAUUUAGGAUUUACUUACCUGAUUUUCCUAAAAAUCGAGAAUCAUCGGAGGGUGGAGGUUUGGUGUCGGUGGUGGUAACUCGUCAAGUGGACUGAAUCUUACAACGGCGACGUCGGCCAGGCAACCCCUCAUAGUCAGAUUGCUCCCCAUCCGAGGUCUUUCAUAGUUGCAAAUUUGCAAUUGCAGGUGGUGUCAUCUAUCGAUAGUCUUGACAGCAACGGUGGUGUGCAAGGUGUGCGAGAUUGGGAGCCCAAAUUGGUAAAGUAAAAAAUGCAUUUUAUAUGGAUUUACAUUGAUGAUAUGAGAUAGGAUUUGAUGGUAACUUAUUAAAUUAAAUUAAAUGACUGAGUCCAAAAUGAUAUGGAUGGUAUGAGAUGGGAUUUAAUGAAAAAUUAAAUGUAUUUAUGUGGCAGAUUGAGAAUUAAAUCCCCAAUUCUUAGUAUUAUUAUAAAUAGCUUUGAGUUAAAUGUGAAAUUUUUUUGUUUUAUUAAGUUUUUAAGCUUAUUUAAUUUCUAUCUAUUUUUUAUAUAUAAUUUACAUAACAUUUUUAUAAUUUUAUGAAAUUUCUAAUUAUCUUAUUUUGCGUAUUGCUUGAUACUGAAUCAAGAUGUCGAGACUAACAUAUCUCGAGAUCAUCUGAGUCAAUGAUCGAUAUCGCGACUUUGAACCAUACUUGUCUCCAAUCCCUCAACAGUGAUGAAAAAUGAGGCCAACACAGUUGCCUUUUUUAUUAUUAUCAGUUAAAAAUAAUGAAUCUAUAUCCAUGUAUUAUCAAGAAUAAAUAAGUUUAUAUUUAUAAAUUUUUAUUAUAAAUUUAUAUUUACACAUAUCCUUGAUUUUCCUCAAGGUCUUAUUUUUAAUUGAUUACAAAGCAUUAGUACUUAUUUAAUUUAAAAUGUAUUAAAUAAAUAUUAAUAUUACAUAAAUAAAUAAAAGUUGAAUUUGAAUAAAAAUUAUAUAUAUAUAUAUAUAUAUCAUAUUCUACAUGAAUAUGAAUCUAUUAUUAAAGAUACAUGGUAAUAAGUGUUAAUAUUAUAUAAUCAAAUGAGAGUACAAAAAUUUUCUAUUAUUAACAAUACAUUAUUAUAAUAAUGAAAUACUUAAUAUCAUGUAAAUAAAUAAAAGUCAUCAUAAAUUUAAAUUUGAAUUUAUAUUUUUAAACCCAUCAAAUUUAUUUUUAUUUAUUUUUAAUUUUAAGAAUUUUUUCUCCACUUCAAAUAGCAAUAAUAGUGUUUAUUCAUACUAAUUAUACUUAAAAUUGAUGAAAUUUAUGAAAAAAGAAGAAGUAAAAACCCAUACCCUUCAAAUUUACAUUUGUUUUAAUUUUAAGAUUUUUUUUCUCUACUUCAAGUAAUAAUAAUAAUAAUGUUUAUUCAUACUAAUAGCAAUAAAAUUAACGAAAAUGAUGAAAAAUAAAAAAUAAAAAAUAAAUAGUAAAAACUUCAAAAUUUUAAUAAUAAUAAUAAUAUUUAUUCAUACUAAUAAACAAUUCUUCAUAAUCAUAACCUACUAAUUUCCAACAAUUAUAAUUGAAAUUGUUUUGAAUAAACAAUGUAAUUUGUAUUUGAAGUUGAAGAAAAUUGUGAAAAUUAAAUGGGAAGGGUAGGGUUUUAAUUUUUUAUUUUAUUUAAAAUUUUUCCCUCAUUAAUUAAUUAAUUAAUUAAUUAAUUUAUUUAUUUAUUUAUGAAUUUUGAGUGAAAUUAUUAUGAAUCAACAAUUUUAUUGAUAUUUAAAGUUUAAAAAAAAAAAAUCUAUGAAUUUUAAAUAAAUUUUGGAAGGUAUUUGUAAUGGGGUAUUUUUAUUUGCACUUUCCUAUUAUGUUGAAAUAUUGUUUGGUUUCAACAUUGUUUAUUCAAAAUAAUUUCAAUUAUAAUUAUUGGAAAUUAGGAGGUUAUGAUUAUGAAGAAUUGUUUAUUAGUAUGAAUAAACAUUAUUAUUAUUAUUAUUAUUAUUAUUUGAAGCAGAGAAAAAAAUUCAUAAUGCAUAGGGAGACCACAGAUUCUAUGGAUUCAACAAUUGAUAAACCUACUUGUUUAUGUUAUUGUCCCUAACCAUCUAUUCCAUUUUUGAAUUUACUUUUGGUGCAUUUAGUUUGUAACUUAUCUUAUGUUUUACUUAUUUUCAAUUUUUUUUUUUUAAGGUUAAGAUAGUAGUUUUUUUUUUUUUUAAAAAAAAAAAAAAAAACUCUUUUGAGCAAUACUUGAUUCUCUUGCUAUUCUUAUUUUUAACCAUUUUUUCAAUAAGAAAUUAUUUCUUUUUGGCGGAAUUGUAGGAAGUGGAUUGAAUCGGAAAAUUUAUUUGGGCCAGAUUGUGUUUCACUAGAGUCUUGAGAGAUGCAGCUUAGUGAGCUUAUAAUAAAAAGGUAGGCAUUUAAACGGACCAUACUGGUCCGAGUCAAUCUUAGUUUGGCCUAGUGGGCCUUCGGAAUUGCUCCAACAUGAAUUUCAAUGUCAACUUCAAUUUUUAAAAUUAAUAAUUAUACAUUUGUUUUAACUAUUUAUAACAAAUAUUAUCUUUGAAAAGUAAAUUUCAAUUAAUUUUUAUAUUUAAAUAAAAAUUAUUAUUAUUUUAAUUAUUUGUAUCCAAAUCAUACCCGAUAUAUUUGAUUUAUCUUACAAUGUUUCAACAUAAUAGGAAAUUGCAAAUAAAAAUACCCCAUUACAAAUACCUUCCAAAAUUUAUUUAAAAUUCAUAUAUAUUUAUAUAUAUAUAUAUAUAUAUAUAUAUAUAUAUAUAUGAAUUUUAAAUAUCAAUAAAAUUGUUGAUUCAUAAUAAUUUCACUUAGAAUUCAUAAAAAAAUACGAGGAAAAAAAUUAAAAUAAAAAUUUUUAAGAUCCCUACCCUUCCCAUUUAAUUUUAACAAUUUUUUUCUGAGCAUUGAUUUGUUGAUCGAUUAUCAAGGGCCACUCAUUUGCUUUGUUGGAUCUAACUCUCUGUAUGCAUGCUCUGUUUUGGCUUUGUUUGUUUUUUUUUUUUUUUUUUAUCUUUGCUUUCUCUUGUAAAUAUCUGAUGCAUUGUUCCUUCUCUGAACUUGAGAUAUAAAAAUCAUGCUCUUGUUCCUUGUGGAUUCCACCUUCUCCUAGCUCUUUGACAAUCCAUGAAAUAGAGCUAAGUUCAUACUCUAUUUUUAUGUUUUUAUUCUUCUUUGUUUGUUGUUGAUGGUGGGAUGAUAUUAUCAAUGGCUAAGUUGCUGGGAUUUGAGGAGUGAGGUUAUGGGGAAGUGAACUUAAUGGAGGAUUUCUAUGAUCAUAUCUAUGCUCCAAUCUAUUGGUUCAAAAUGUUGGCCAUGAGACUGCAUUGAAGUUUUGGUAUUUGGGAUCACUUUGCCAUCCGGGUUCAGUAAGCAACACAGUGGCAAUAAAGAUGCAUUGGUGUUAUUAAUUUGGGUGAAUAAGUUGGUUGUAUGAAUCGUGAAAGUUCAGGUUGUGCUUUGAGGAGAGUAUAUCUUGCAUCCUAUUAUUUUAAUUAUUAAUUUUGGAUGUUGAAAUAUGAUGUGAUCGCACUUCAUACAUCAUGGUUGUGUGAGGAAAAAGAAAGAUUGAAGAAAUGGUUGUGUGAAAUGGAAAUAAGAAUGAAAAGACCCUGGAGAGGGCAAAAAUGAAAAGAAAAAAAAAAUGAAAUGAUCCCAGAGAGGGCAAAUUAAGAAGGAAGUGAGAUCUUUAAGGUGAAAGUCCCAAAAGUUUACUUCGGGAAGACUCCGAAUGGGGAGUAUAUUUAGGUACAGAUGUGUAUCCUUUGGUGAAAGCUUGAGAACCAUAGUGCAUUGUGUGAUUGCGUGUAAGCAUUUGCAUCAUAAUUGCGUUUGGAAGAAGGAUUUGUAUUAUUUAUCAAGUGUAUGUUUGAAUAUAUUAUUCAAAACUAAAAUGACUUGUUUAUUUUGUAAAUUUAGAAUUGUUGAUAUACUAAACAUAUGAUUGAAUAAGGAAAAUGAUAAUUUUGAUUGUUUUAAAUUUAUAUGGUUAAGGUUUCUUUUAAUGUAUAUAUUGUAAAUGUAAUAUUGUAUUUUGACAUAUGGUUGUGUUAUUGACCUAGAAUUUCUAACCUAUUUGGGUGUAAAACACCCUACUGAGCAACGUGGAAAUGCCCAUCUCUUUAUUUUCUAAAAUUUUAGAUGCAAAUAUAGUUUCAGAGGGACCACAAGAAGUUCAAGAAGCGUUCUAGAAAGUAAAAGAACUAUAAUAAUAGUUGUUUUUAAAUUUAUAUUUCUCUUUUUAUAUGUACCAAUUUGAGUUAUAUGGACUUUUGUAUGUUAAAUUAUAUUUUGUUAAAUUGUAAAAUAUUUUUGGAAAUAUUUUUUUUAACUUAGAGAUUAUUGUAAAUAUUUCAGCUUUUGGGCAGAAAGAUGACUGGUGGAUUUAUUAUACUUGUGAAUAAGAGAUAGUGUGAUGGUUGGUUUUAGAAAAAUAAAAUAUUAUAGUAAAUCUUAACUUAAUAAGAGCAGGAUGAUCAUCAGCCUGCUCUUGAAGCAUCCAGGGAGGGCAUAUUCCAAGAAAGUUACGAAAAAUUGAGAUGAAGAAACUGCAGUGAAGCAAUUUCAUGGAAUUUUUGCUUGGAGACUCACGAAUUACAACCAAUUGCUCAGGGUUGGGAAAAUUGGAAUUGGUGUAAAUUGUGACUGGGUCUUUGUAAAACCCACAUCAUUUAGCUAGAAAAGCUUUGAAAAUACAUUUUAAUUUAAUUUAUAAUUUCUAUGUUAGAAUAUUAGAUCCAAUUCCUAAAAAGCUUAUCAGCCUUGUAUAUAUGGCUAAGCAGGUCAACUUCCCAAGCUCAAGCGCAUUAAGAAAUUCUCAGACCUACCUUUUUUUUAUAGGAUUUUUGGGAAGUUUUACAGCAAUUGAAAACAAAUCCUAAAAGGGUCGGGAAAUUAUUUGAAAAAAUAUGGCAGAUUUGGUCACAUAGGGGACAAAGAUGUGAUAAAGUUGGUACAACGCCCAAAAUUAAACUCUCAAUUAAUUUAAUUAAACAAAUAAUCAUAAAAGAGAUCUGUGUAGACUGUGUGGCAGGUUUUUAAUUUAUGAUUUUUGUUUUUUUAUUUAUACUUUUUGAAAAAGAAAAUUCCAGUGAAAUAUGUUCGUGUAGACUGUGUGGCAGGAUGCAGACUAAACAAAGAAAUUGACACGUGCUUGAAUCCGGCCCUACACAUAGCCCCAUUGGAAAACAGCGGUUUCAUCCUCCGUACUCUUUGGGCGUUAAGUGGGUUCACAAACCAAACAAUGGGCUGCCCCAACACAGCAACACUUAGAUUGAGGACAAACUAUGUAGGUGAAUACCCAAUUAUACCCACAUGAAUCAGCGGUCAAUCUUUCAAAUCUAAGGACAGAGUAGUCAUUCCAAUUCAAACCAAACAAAGCUAUGAGAACUGCUGGCCACAGCCUCUGGUUUCCCCAAAACUUUGGGCAGUAUUCCUCAAAGAAUCAAGUGGGCUAGAUUUAAUAACUUCGUCCACCAUGGUUAGAUUAUUGGGGGCUAGAGUCAAUAACUUCAUCCACCAUGGUUAGAUUAUUGGUAUCUCGAUGGGAGAAGUUGUUUUGAUGGAAAAACAUUGUAUUUUAUUAUUUUGUAAAUUUUAUCAUCACUCAUAUAUAUUAUUUUUUAUUUAAAAUUAAAUAAAAAAUUAAAAUUCUUAGAAAAUACGAAAAGAAAGUAUAUCACAAUCUUUAUUUUCUAUUCUAAAAUUAAAAAAUAAAAAUAAAAUUAUGAAGAAAAAAGUACAUUCCAACUUACAUUAAUUAAGGGAUGAUAUACUGUGCAAAUAAAAAAUAUAAAAAAUAAUUAAAGGUUAAAUAAAUCACUUAAUAAAUCGGUAGUAUGAGUUGAUGGUUUCAUUAUUAGACUAUAACAAAGAUUUUCAUUUUCUUUUUCUUUUUAAAUGCAUUUUAUGGUGGUGUAUAACUUUUUUGUAUAAGGGUUUUUAAAUUGUAAUAUAGAUUAUAUAUAUAGUUGUGUUUUGUCCUAAAUUCUGUCUUCCAAGUUUUCAACAUUAUAUAAAAAUCCCUAAAAUCACCUACUUUAUACGUUUUCUAACAUUAUAUAAAAAUCCCUGAAUUCACCUAUUAGAAAAAUGUUAUUUGGUGCGCUAUCAUUACCAUGGCCUCAACCUCGUGCAAAUAUAUCGAGUGGUUACUAAUAGUAAAAAAUAAAUAAUAAAAACAAAAUAUAUUCAUUAUUAUUAUUAUUAUUUUGUACUUUUACCAUCCAUUAUUCACAUCUUAGCAUAUGAUAGAAAAUACGAUAAAAGAUUAUUUAUGUUGUAUGAUUUUAAGUGAAAUGAUCAAAAUAUUUAAAGAAAAAAUUAAUAAUUCAUGAAGAAUUUUUGGUAAAUUUAUAAAUUUGUAAUAAAUAUUGAUAAAUGAUAAACAAAAUAGUUUUUAAAGUGGUUGCCGUAGUUAAACAUUGUAUCUUAUUAUGAUUUUCCACCUUCAAAACUUAAUAAUAAAAUUUCAUAACAAAUUUUUAUCUAUUUGAAACUUUUGAAAUGUGAAAUCUUUUCUUGGACAUUUUUAUAUAUACAUUUGUGAAUUUUAUCUUUAUUUUUUAUUUAUAAAAUUAAAGGAUAAAAUUAAAAUGUUAAAAAUAAAAGAGAAGUAUAUCCCAACUUGCAUCAAUUAAGAGAAGAUAUAUUAAGCACAUGAAGAAUGCAAAAAAAAUUAAUGAUAAAAUAAAUCACUUAUUAGAUAGUAUUUAAUGAUUUACAUUAUUAGAUUGUAGCAAUGAGUUAUAUUUUUAUUUUUGUGUAUAGGGGAUUUUAAAUUAUAAUAUAUAUUUUUUAUUAUUUUUGAGUUAGUUUUCUUUGUUGAUACAUAGUUUUUUUUUUUGUCUUAGAUAUUGUGUUAUCAGCAGUUUUAAAAGAAAUAAAAAUUAUUUAUCCCACAUCGAUUCAAAACUAAAAAUAUUAUAUAUAUUUAUUAAAACUUUGAUACCCUUAAAAAAUACAAGUACAACCAAUAAGCAAGCAUAGGGAUGGCAACGGGGCGGGUAUGGGACAUGCCACCCCUACCCCAUUUCCAUCCCAGUUAUAUAUUUUUUUGCCCAUCUCUGUCCCAAACUUGGGGCGAGGCGAGUUGGUGUCCCCCUUACCUGUUUACAAAAGAGCUGAUAAUCUCAUCCCCGUUCCAAAUGUAUUUUCGGGAAUUAUGCUUUUACAGAACAUUGGUCUCUGAAAUUUCAAUAAACGUUAUAUGGGUUAUCAUAAACACAUUUAAUCAAGCAUUUGUUGUGCAACAAAACUAAAAAUUGCACAUAUGAGAACAAAAUGUACAUAUCUACAAAUAAACAACCCAAAAAAUCUCAAAUCCAUAAAGCAAAACCAGAAAAAUAUGAAAAACAAGACAUUCUAACAAAGCCUCAAAACUUAGGGUUUUCUUACCUGGAAAUGAGGAAUCUAUAGAAACCCUAAUAAUUUGUUGUCUACGAAUUUGGUUUUUAGUUUUUAGAGCAAAAAUUGUGCUUUUAGGGUGAAAUGGGAAGAAGCAAUUUAGGAAGAAAUGAGAAAACGGGAAGAAAUGAGAAAACGAAAGGCCUCUUAUGAGCAAAAGAACCCUGAGCAAUUUAGGAAGAAAUGAGAAAACGGGAAGAAAUGAGAGCGAAAGCCCUCUAACUCUUUCACGAGCGAAAUAACCCUAAAACUUGAGGAAGAAAUGAUUAUAUAUGGAGGACUUUUUGGGUAUUUUGUAAUGACGUAAGGGUAAAUUGGUAAUUCACAUACGGGGUGGGGCAGAAACUGCAAAACCCAUCCCUGCCUUAAACCCGAUUCGGGUUUUUAUAUAUUCCCCAAACCCGUUUUAUACCCGAAUAGGAUAUUCUCAUACUCGUCCCAAUAGGGACGGGGCGGGUGACCCAAAUUACCCGGAAAAUUGUCAUUCCUAAGCAAGCAUUGAGUUAAAUCCUAAUCUCACAUUCCUGCUCGAAACUUUACACUCACAUAAAAACAACUCACCACUUGACUCGAGGGACUAUUCCGUAACUUCUCACUACCAACAACUAGGCACUAUUCAACCUCUCGCUCACUUAUAAAUUCACUCUCUACCUGCAUAUUCAAAAUGUAUCUCACUACUAUUCUACUCUACUAUUCUACUUUUCGUGGUUUCAUAUCUCACUAUUAUUCUACUUUUCGCGGUUUCAUAUCUCACUACUAUUCGCGUGUUCAAAGUGUGCAUAUUCAAACUGUAUCCCUCCCUGAAUUAAUUGUGAAUUAAUUUAGGCUUCAAAGUGUGAUGCUCUACAAUAUCCCUCCCAGUCAGGCCUCAAAGUAAGAACAACAACAUCUACAAUAUCUGCCAUGGCCACACAACCAAGGCAUGCGGUAUGCCGCAUUUUCUCAUGUCCUUUUCCCAUUUUGUUCCCUCUUUUCAUCUCCAUUUUGUUUUCAAUAUUCCCUUACCUUACUCAUAUUCUCUAAAAUUAGAUAAAAUUAUUAAUUUGAUCAUAUUUAUCUAACAUUUUUAAUUAGUACUACUAGUAUCUUAUUUUCAUAAAUCUAAUUGAAUUUCCUACUUAUUUAUUUAUUGUUUUCAUGACAAAACUUCAUCAGCUUUCAUAUCUUUCCUUACAAUUCUGAGUUCAACUGUCCUUGCGAAAUACCAAUAUGAGAAUGUUUUCCCAUUUGCCCAACACAACAUAGGUAUGCAAAUCUCCUUAUUUGCAUCAUUUAUAUAUUUCAUGAUGGUUGUGGUUUAUGAAAUCCUUGAUUCAGAUGGAACUAUCAAAAUUCAAGAAGAUGGAAGAUAUCUCCUUAUUUUGGGUCAUGUUCGGUUCUUAAGUGGAACAGCAGCUGCAACUUUGUUGAUCCUGAUCUUGAUCCCAUAUUUUGGAUGGUUCUUUCUGAUCAUGUGGACCAUGUUCUUAGUGAAAAUAGCAUGCUAUUGGGAUAAAACAUUUUAUAACUUUGACAUGUUCGAGAAUUAAAAAAAAUGCCAAUGAUAAGGAAUGAGGACAAGAGGAGCAACGACCCCAAGUUUAGAGUAGGUUUGGUCUAUAAGAGGUUAUUAGCAAAAAACAUAUUUUCUUCUUGUACUUUCGAAAGUGUUAUAUAAGUGUUAUAUUUUGAGUAAUGAGAGUAUUUUUUUUUUCCUUUUUUCUUUUUCUCUAAUACAUUAUUGUUGAUUAUUCUUCGCUGGAAUACCCACAAAGCUAUUAGAUGUUUCAUUGCAAAUAUGGUUUUAUAUGAUAGCAUUAUGAUUGAACUAAUAAAAUAAAUUUUCUGCAUAUUGUUUAGCUGGACCUCCCAACUACCUCUCGGUAAUAUCCUCUUAACAUAGGAAAUAUAAACUAAUAGCAAGUGCUAAUCUUUCCCAUUCUUACACAAGAAAGAACCAAGGAAAAGGUAUAUUUAGAAGUUGCAUUUCUAUGUUCCCAAACAAUAGAAAAUUCAAUAUAUGGUGCUUUACUCUCUACUUUUCUUUCCCACCUUUUCUCAUAACCCAAAUAUGCUCACGUCUCUUUCCAAGAUCCAACCAAAAUUGAAACACAAUUACAAAAAUCCUUGUAAAAAAGACAGAUCAUACUACAAUUACACUUUCAUACAAGAAAUUGAAGUGCAGAAAGUAUAAAAAUUGAGUGAAACAAAUAAAAACCAACCUCCUUUCACACACCUGCUAAUGAAAUACUUGUAGAGACACUUUAAAUUUCUCCAGACUCCAAGAGAUAUUGAUCAACAGCCUCGACACUUGCAGCGACGAGACCAGCAUCUGAUACGAUAUAAUGCACAAACUCGGCACGGAAUCGAUAAGACUCGGUUAGAUUACAAAUUUUUUUUCAAACAUUCUUUUUUUCUUUCCAAUCACAAUAAAACAUCAUAAUAUUUUCAAAAAUAAAAAUAAGAGAUUCCCCUUUCAAAAGCAGACACCCAUGAUUCUGAAAUUGGAGCUUUUAACCCAGAAGAUCAAAGAAGAUGAAGAAGAAAAAACCCAACCCCUGACCCGUUCGAAAAUAAGAGGAGAAACCACCGAAGAAUGAGGGCAUGAUUUAGGAUUUACUUACUUGAUUUUCCUAAAAAUCAAGAAUCAUCGGAGGGUGGAGGUUUGGUGUCGGCGGUGGUAACUCGUCAAGUGGACUGAAUCUUACAACGGCGACGUCGGCCAGACAACCCCUUCACAGUUAGAUUGCUUCCCCUCCGGGGUCUUGCAUAGUUGCAAAUUUGCAAUUGUAGGUGGUGUCAUCUGUCGGCGGUCUUGACAACAAUGGUGGUGUGCGAGUGUGGGAGAUUGGGAGCCCAAAUUGGUAAAGUAAAAAAAUGCAUUUUAUAUGGAUUUACAUUGAUGAUAUGAGAUAGGAUUUGAUGGUAACAUAUUAAAUUAAAUUAAAUGAUUGAGUCCAAAAUGAUCUGGAUGGUAUGAGAUGGGAUUUAGUGAAAAAUUAAAUGUAUUUAUAUGGCAGAUUGAGAAUUAAAUCCACAAUUCUUAGUAUUAUUAUAAAUAGCUUUGAGUUAAAUGUGAAAAAAAUUUAUUAAUUUUUUAAGCUUAUUAAGUUUAUAUCUAUUUUUUUUAUAUAUAAUUUACAUAAUAUUUUUAUAAUUUUUUUGAAAUUUCUAAUUAUCUUAUUUUGCGUAUUGCUUGAUAUCGAAUCAAGAUGUCGAGACCAACAUAUCUCGAGAUCAUCCGAGUCAAUGAUCGAUAUCGCGACUUUGAACUAUGCUCAUCUCCAAUCCCUCAAUAGUGAUGAAAAAUAAGGGCAACGCAAUUACCUUUUUUAUUAUUAUCAGUUCAAAAUAAUACAUGUAUUAUAAUAUAAUUUUUUUAAAAUAUUUUACAAAAAAAUAUAUGUGGACCCCGUAUUUAGGCUCAUGCGCUUCCAUUCGAUGGCAAACUCGAUUUUAUUUUGAAAAUGAUUUUAUUUAUUAAAAAAUGACUUGGAGUCGCCACUUAUUUUUGUUUUAUUUUUAAAGGGUAAAGAAAAUAAGAAAGAAAACCCUAUGUGUGACUACUUAUUUUGAAAAAGGUGGUCUGUGAAAAACCGAAUCAGGUUCGGGGGUCAGGUUACUUAUUGGGAAGGUACAGUAAAAACCGUAGCACCCCUUUAAGUUCCCAAAGUCGGGUCUCUACUAAUAAAAUGAAGCUAACACGACAAUGAAUAAGAAAAAUAAUGAAUAUUGACAUGAUCACAUAUUGAAAGCCAAAACAUAUAAGGAUGAUGGUCAGAGUGAGAAAAAAUGCAUACCUGAUCAGCAAGCGGUAACGCGCUAUCAUAAAAUGAGGUUAGUGCACAAAUAAUGGACAUAAAACAUAGCUCACAUGCCACUGAAUCGAGUACAAAAUCAUCAGAUAUCACAAUUAAGUUAAAUUUAUUUUUCGAGGAAACAAUCACUGAUGUUGGGCCCCCACUGUAGACCCUCAAAUUUGUCCCUUUAGCACAUGUCUUUGAGUUCGUUUUCAGUACUUCAAAAUAGUUCCUUGGUGGCCCAUGGCUACUCAUACCACUUACCUUUUUCUGAGUCACCUCGGAGAUUUUGGUCGAGGGAUUAUCUGACCCAUUAUUGUGACCCUUGGCAACCCUAUUUUAGACUUAGGCUUUUCGUUCAUUUUUAGGAUAGCUUUUAGGGUAGCUCAUUUAGGCACCCUAGGCCCACUUAGGCACUUAGGCCCAUUUAGGCACCCUAGAUCCACUUAGGCACUUAGGCCCAUUAGGUCCACCUUGGCCCACUUAGUCUCACCUUGGCCCAUUAGUCUUUGUUUUUAGUAUGACUUAUAUGGUUGUAUGACGCAUUUAUCUCAUUUACUUAUUUAUUUAUCUUUAUUUUUUAUUAUUACUAACCACUUUUAUUUGAUCAUUUAUUAUGGUUUUAUUUAUUCAUUUGUUUUGAUUUAUUUUCAUUAUUAUCAAUCAUUUUUUAGUUAUUUAUUUAUUUAGUAUUCUUACUUAUUUAUUUAUUAUCUUGUUAUUUAUUCAUUUAUCUAUUAUUAUCAUUUUAUAUUCUCCGAUUUAUUUAUUUAGUUAUUUAUUUAUUUUAUUAUUUAUUAUCUAUUUUAUUAUUUAUUUAUUUAUUUAAUUUAAUAAUUUGAAAUUUUUAUGGAAGAAGUCUACCAUUGGAUAAGUUUUUGAAAACGGUAAAACUCUUUAAAUGAUAUGCAUGGAUUGUGGGUGAUAUGCGUGGAUUGGUAUUGUUUGAAAUUAAAAAAAAAUGAGUUUUUCCGGUGCAUAAGAUAAAAUCUGGAGGGAGGAAGACUCCUCACGUAGGAGGACUAUUAUUUGCUAUAAAAAAGCUCUAACAGAUAGGUAUAAAGGGAGGACUUUCGGCACAUAGAAAAAAAAAAAAAAAAGAGAGAGAGGCGGAAAAAUUGGAUUUUCAGAGAAGACUUUCUAGUGAGAAGCUGUCGGUGGAGAAGAAGGAGAGGGCGGUGGAAGAAAUCUCAGACGACAAACCAGUGGGAUCUCCUUGCCAGAGGAGAGCGUUCCUCGGUAUGUUUGUUGAGAACUCCUUACUUAUUGAUAUUAUCACUUUGUUCUGUAUCCUCUCUGGUUAGUGUUCUUUUACCAUUGUUUUUUUGUUAGGAUAUGAAAGUGAUAUUGGUCUUCUCUUCUCUCAUAUUCUUUUAGUUUCAUCUAAUCAUAAAUCUGAACGUAGUCUCAAUCACACCACUGGUCUGCGAAUCUAUCGACUUCAGAAAGAAAUGGGAUCCCAUUUAAUGUCUAGUUUCCUUGUUUAUUUUGUUAUGGAUAUCCUGUAUUUUGUUUCGUUUACUACUCUACAUCUAGUAUCCCGAUCCAUGUCCCUGUUGUUGGCUCACAUCUUUGAAUUUACUCCGGACGUUUGGUUUCGUGUUCUGAUUUGCACUUGAGAGAGAGGGUUCAGUACAUGACAAGCCAUAUAUCGUGUUAAAUGGAAAUUUGGAUUUUUUUUUCACUGGAGAUUUUAGAUUUCAAAAAUUGGUUUGCAUAGGAACUCUUCCCGAAGUCGGACCUUCGACAAGCCAUUCAAUUCCUAGUCAUUCCUAAUCUCUAGCAUUCCUCUAUCUGAAUUUCAGAUAGAUUUGGUUACCCACUUCCCGAAAACACUAGAAACUGAGUCCACUCCUUUUAGGUCACUGCUUUCUCAUCAUUCGCGGGAUGGGUCUUCCACAUCUGCUUGUGUUCCUGUUCCUGACAUGAAGACCCUAACUAGUUCGUUGCGAUCUUCUCAUUUUGAAGCCCUAGAUGAUCAAAGUUUGGUUCCUACUUCGCCAUGGUCUUGGAACAGAGAAACUAAACCACCAUUCUCUUCAUACCUUCCUCGAGAAAUUGAACCCACUAUGGUGGGUGCUGGGCUUGUAAAUCUAGGCAACACAAUGCUUUCUUAAUGCAGUGCUCCAAUGCUUCACGCACACUGUCCCCCUUGUCCAGAGCCUUCGUUCUUGCAAUUAUGCCAUGCCUUGUCAUAGUUUGUGUUUCUUCCAUUGGUUUCUGUUUAUAUUAAAGAAUGAUCCGACUUUGUUAGUUCCAUUGUAAUAUCCAGAAGUUCCUUCUUCUUUCUUCCAUGUUCAAGCCUGUUGAAAGUGCAUGUAUGAUACAUGGCUUUGAAUGAUUGCCCAUCUACGUGUUUCCCUUCCCCUUGCCAUCCUUUUGCUAUAUCUUAUAGCCUUUGUUCAUGGUUUGUGGGUCGGUUUGCAAGAACGUCUUAUCGUUUGCAAUGAUUAGCACCCGAGCCAUCCUCAUUUGGCUGAUCAAUGUCACUGGGGAAGUCCUUGGAGGGCGGUUGCUACUCUUGAUAUUACAGGUGAUAUGGUGGUAUUUGUGGGUUUUGUUGAGGGUAUUUGGGUUCAGAUCGAAACUGCCCAUCUGAGGUCCUGGAUGAAAGAAUCAAUCCUGUGUCAGUUGUUUGUCUCAAUUAUCUAUAAGAUAGACAAGUGUCCUUAUUAGCAACAGGUGAAAGGAUGGGUAUGCAGAUAGAUCCAAGCCAAGUUGGAGAGUGGUGUCGGACACGCGCUUGAUGAAGGAAACAUUGAGGUUCUUGGAUAUAAACAUGGUCCUACCAUCAGAUCUGAUGUGACAACCAAUAUGUUGUGUCACAAGGAAGAAAUAUUUGAACCAAUACUUCUCUGCAUGGCCAUGCGAAUUCCGAGCAUAUAUACUCCUCGACUGGGACGACGUUCAUAAUGUUGACCACGUGUGAACUAUUUUUUGAAGGUGGGAAUUUUGCGAAUUCAUUUCAGCGCCCAAUUUUGUGUGUAUUUGAUCAGACUUUGGGCUAUCAGUUGGAAUCCAGCACGACUUUAGUUAUCGGCCGCUCGUUCACGAUGUGCUAGAUUGGAAGCUUAAUAGGUUGGAGUAUGGGGCAGACCUCUAGCACUGCUAGGUUCGCCUGACACAGGUGGACAGAUUGCUUAUAUGCUGGAUCAAGUGCGUGCCUUGGAAAAUGAGAUGCUUCUUAAGAUACAAAAGCAAGGACUUGAUGUCAUUCCUAAAAUUCUCAUAGUUACCCGACUUAUACCUGAUGCAAAGGGGACCACACGCAAUCAGAGACUUGAAAGAAUCAGUGGUACAGAACAUACACAUAUUUUUUGAGUGCCAUUUAGAAGAGAAAAUAGUAUUCUGCGGAAAUGGAUCUCAAGGUUUGAUGUAUGGCCAUAUCUGGAAACCUUUGCAGAGGAUGUAUCAAAUGAAAUUGCUGCCGAGCUACAGGGAGUUCCAGAUCUGAUCAUUGGCAACUAUAGUGAUGGGAAUCUUGUUGCAUCUUUACUAUCUUAUAAGCUGGGAAUUACGCAGUGCAAUAUUGCUCAUGCAUUGGAGAAAACAAAAUAUCCAGAGUCUGAUAUAUAUUGGAGAAAAUUUGAGGAUAAGUACCAUUUCUCAAGCCAAUUUACUGCUGAUCUAAUUGCAAUGAACAAUGCAGAUUCUAUAAUCACCAGUACAUACCAAGAGAUUGCCGGAAGCAAGAAUCAUGUUGGACAGUAUGAGAGCCACACAGCCUUCACUCUUCUAGGGCUGCACCGAGUUGUUCAUGGCAUUGAUUUUUUAUCCCAAGUUUAAUAUCAUAUCUCCAGAAGCAGACAUGCCCAUAUACUUCUCAUACUCAGAAAAAGAAAUGGUUGAAAGUCACAUGCAGAAACUCGUCCAUAUGGAAAACUUGAAAAUAUGCACAUAUUCCUUUUUGAUCCUUGCUGCCAGUUUUCACUCAACCACUGACCCUUCAACUUCAAAAAUUCAUUUUGACAACUUUAGGAUAUCUGUAAAAAAUUUCCAGAAAUUUUAUGACUUUCCUCACUUCUUGAACUUGAAUUUGAGGUUUUGUUUGAGUUAGAAAGUCAUUCUGAGAUAGAAGAUAUAAAUGAGUCUUUAGGGGGACUCCGUUUUCACAUAGUUCUGGACACCCAAGAUCUUUUGGAAAAAAUAAAAUACUAGAGGACUUUUUAAAAUUGAUUCAAUAUUUUUUCUCAAUUAUGAGCUUCUUGAAAUUGAUUUUAGACACAUAAAAUAUUAGAAAAUAUGCAUUUUUGAGGGAGAUAUGAUUUUUCAAAGUUGUGCCUACUGCGCAUGCUGGAGUUUGUACAUCUGAUUACAUUUAUAGUUUUAAAAAUAUUUUUGAGUACUAUUCGACCCCGAAUUUAUUUUUUAUGUGAUAUAGACAUUUUGAAAUAUGUGUGUGAUUUUUUUUUAUGAUUUUAUAGGAUCAUUUAUUAUUUUAAAAAAAUUCAUUUAUGCACGUCACUUUUCCUUAUCUAAUCUGGACUUUGUAGAACCUUUAGGUGCCUUUGCAAUAAUCUGUCUUUUGAAUGAGUGUUUGGCUUUUGGUAUGUUAAUCUAGGUGUGUAGGAGUUGUUUCCUGAAACUUUUUGUAAUCAAAUUCCACUCUAAGCCAUUUUUUUAGAAAUUGUUUUACGAUGCUUCAUUUUCUAACCGCAUGCUGAUGGUUUUAUACCUUACUUGAAAUUGUUAUUAUUUUUGGAGUCAUUUAAUUUGUCUUAGCUCAAUUUUGGCUUUGAAACUGUAUAUUAGACAUAAUGGAUAUUUCAUAUAAUUUAUGCUUGCCCUAACCAAUCUAGCAUUUUUCGAGGAAUCUUAUAAAAUAUACUUGCUAUCCAGGUACGUUCUCUAUCCUCUAAUUCCAAAAUUCUAUGAAAAUGCAUGCUAUCAUGAGCUAUAUCCAUGCUUUGAUUUAAUCCUUGGGUGCUUAGAUGUAUGUUUGACUUGCUUGGAUAAAAUGCAUGUUGUGUGCUAUAUCUCUAUACUAACUUUGAUGUCUUGUGAUAGCGCUUGAAAAGUCGUUCAGGUACGUACUUCGAUUUUCUCUCAUGGUUUGUUUUCUUAUUAGGCAUGCAAUAUUUGAAAUCACCUAGUCUACUUAGGUAUCCAUGAUCAACCAUUUAAUUGCCACGCUUCCCUUAACUUAGUCAGUAGAGACCUUUUUAGGGCUUAGAGGGGUGCUACCUUCUAGAGGUACCUUCCCAAUAAGUAACCUGAUCCCCAGACUUAGACUCGGGUUUCUCAAAGACAUGCUUUUUCCAAAACUAUGGAGUCACUUUUUAGGGUUUUUCUUUCUUGUUUUAUUUUCCCUUCAAAAUAAAAAUAAAAUAGGUGACGACUCCAACUUUUUUUUUUUCAAAAAUCAAUUUUUCACAAAUAAAAAAGCGAGUCUCGCCGAUCGAGUGGGGGCGCACAUGAAAACUGCGGGUCCACACCCACCAAAACCCAAUUUAUUCCUGCAUGAAUUAAUUCCGUAAAUUCCAUCACUUGGAAUUACAUAAUUUAAUUCACACUUAUUUUUAAAACGUUUUAGAAAUCAUGGAAGUUAUGGAAAUACCUGCCGAAGAAAAUGGCAACAAAAUUUUAUUAAAAAUGUGAUUUUUGGGACUUGAAAGCUCUAAGGAUGAAGAAUCUGGAAAAUAAUGCGAAAAAAAUGAGAUUUGGAAAAAAAUAUUUUUUUAAACCAAGAAUGGUGAAAAUGAGAAAAAGAAAAAAGAAAAAAAAAGGAAGUGACAUGUGGCAUAAGGGUGGCCAUGCUAAGGUGGCCAUGCACCAUUCCAAACAAAUCUAACCCCAUUUGCUUUUAUUUGAUCCUGAUCUUAAUCCCAUAUUUUGGAUGGUUCCUUCUGGUCAUGUGGACCAUGUUCUUAGUGAAAAUAGCAUGCUAUUGGGAUAAAACAUUUUAUAACUUUGACAUGUUCAAGAAUAAAAAAAAAAGUCAAUGAUAGGGAAGGAGGACAAGAUGUGUAGCGACCCCAAGUUUAGAGUAGGUUUGGUCCAUAAGAGGUCAUUAGCAAAGAACAUAUUUUCUUCUUGUACUUUCGAAAGUGUUAUAUUUUGAGUAAUGAGAGUAUUUCUUUUCCUUUUUUCUUUUUCUCUAAUACAUUAUUGGUGAUUAUUCUUCGCCAGAAUACCCACAAGGCUAUUAGAUGUUUCAUUGCAAAUAUGGUUUUAUAUGAUAGAAUUAUGAUUGAACUUAUAAAACAUAUUUUCUACAUAUUGUUUAGCUGGGCAUCCCAACUACCUCUCGGUAAUAUCCUCUUAACAUAGGAAGUAUAAACUAAUAGCAAGUGUUAAUCUUUCCCAUUCUUACACAAGAAAGACCCAAGGAGAAGGUAUAUUGAGAAAUUGCAUAUCUAUGUUCCCAAACAAUAGAAAAUUCAAUAUAUGACACUUCACUCUCUACUUUUCUUUCCUACAUUUUCUCAUAACCCAAAUAUGCUCACCUCUCAUUCUAAGAUCCAACCAUUGAAAAACAAUUACAAAAAUCCUAAUAAAAGAGACAGAUCAUACUACAAUUACACUUUCUUACAAGAAAUUGGAGUGUAGAAGGUAUAACAAUUGAGUGAAACAAAUAAAAACCAACCUCCUUUAACACACCUGCUAAUGAAAUACUUAUAGAGACACUAUAAAUUCCUCCAGACUCCAAAAGAUACUGAUCAACAGCCUCGGCACUUGCAGCGACGAGACCAACACCUGAUAUGAUAUAAUGCACGAACUCGACACAGAAUCGGUAAGACUCAGUUAGAUUACAGAAAAAUUUUCAAACAUUCUUUUUUUCUUUCCAAUCAUAAUAAAACAUCAGAAUAUUUUCAAAAAUAAAAAUAAGAGAUUCCCCUUUCAAAAGCAAACACCCAUGAUUUUGAAAUUGGAGCUUUUAACCCAGAAGAUCAAAGAAGACGAAGAAGAAAAAACCCAAUCCCUGACCUGUUCAGAAAUAAGAGGAGAAACCACCGAAUGAUGAAGACAUAAUUUAGGAUUUACUUACCUGAUUUUCCUAAAAAUCGAGAAUCAUCGGAGGGUGGAGGUUUGGUGUCGGCGGUGGUAACUAGUCAAAUGGACUAAAUCUUACAACGGGGACGUCGGCCAGGCAACCCCUCACAGUUAGAUUGCUCCUCCUCCGGGGUCUUUCAUAGUUGCAAAUUUGCAAUUGCAAGUGGUGUCAUUUGUCUGCGGUCUUGACAGAAAAGGUGGUGUGCAAGGUGUGGGAGAUUGGGAGCCCUAAUUGGUAAAGUAAAAAAUGCAUUUUAUAUGGAUUUACAUUGAUGAUAUGAGAUAGGAUUUGAUGGUAAAUUAUUAAAUUAAAUUAAAUGAUUGAGUCCAAAAUGAUAUGGAUGGUAUGAGAUAGGAUUUAAUGAAAAAUUAAAUGUAUUUAUAUGGCAGAUUGAGAAUUAAAUCCCCAAUUCUUAGUAUUAUUAUAAAUAGCUUUGAGUUAAAUGUGAAAUUUUUUUGUUUUAUUAAUUUUUUAAGCUUAUUUAAUUUCUAUCUUUUUUUUUAUAUAUAAUUUACAUAACAUUUUUAUAAUUUUAUGAAAUUUCUAAUUAUCUUAUUUUGUGUAAUGCUUGAUACCGAAUCGAGAUGUCAAGACCAACAUGUCUCGGGAUCAUCUGAGUCAAUGAUCGAUAUCGCGACUUUGAACCAUACUCGUCUCCAAUCCCUCAACAAUGAUGAAAAAUGAGGCCAACGUAGUUGCCUUUUUUAUUAUUAUCAGUUAAAAAUAAUGAAUCUAUAUCCAUGUAUUAUCAAGAAUAAAUAAGUUUAUAUUUAUAAAUUUUUAUUAUAAAUUUAUAUUUACACAUAUCCUUGAUUUUCCUCAAGGUUUUAUUUUUAAUUGAUUACAAAGCAUUAGUACUUAUUUAAUUUAAAAUGUAUUAAAUAAAUAUUAAUAUUAUAUAAAUAAAUAAAAGUUGAAUUUGAAUAAAAAAUUUAUAUAUAUAUAUAUAUAUAUAUAUAUAUAUAUAUAUAUAUAUAUAUAUAUAUAUAUAUAUAUAUAUAUAUAUAUCAUAUUCUACAUGAAUAUGAAUCUAUUAUUAAAGAUACAUGGUAAUAAGUGUUAAUAUUAUAUAAUCAAAUGAGAGAGUACAAAAAUGUUCUAUUAAUAACAAUACAUUAUUAUAAUAAUAAGAUACUUAAUAUCAUGUAAAUAAAUAAAAGUCGUCAUAAAUUUAAAUUUGAAUUUAUAUUUUAAAACCCAUCACAUUUAUUUUUAUUUUUUUAAAAUUUUAAGAAUUUUUUCUCCACUUCAAAUAGCAAUAAUAGUGUUUAUUCAUACUAAUUAUACUUAAAAUUGAUGAAAAUUAUGAAAAAAGAAAAAGAAGUAAAAACCCAUACCCUUCAAAUUUAUAUUUGUUUUAAUUUUAAAAUUUUUUUCUCUACUUCAAGUAAUAAUAAUAAUAAUGUUUAUUCAUACUAAUAACAAUAAAAUUAAUGAAAAUGAUGAAAAAAAAAAUAGUAAAAACUUCAAAUUUGUAAUAAUAAUAAUAUUUAUUCAUACUAAUAAACAAUUCUUCAUAAUCAUAACCUACUAAUUUCCAACAAUUAUAAUUGAAAUUAUUUUGAAUAAACAAUGUAAUUUGUAUUUGAAGUUGAAAAAAAUUGUGAAAAUUAAAUGGGCAGGGUAGGGCUUUAAUUUUUUUUAUUUUGUUUUAAAUUUUUCCCUCAUAAAUUUAAUUUAAUUUAAUUUUUUUUUUAUGAAUUCUCAGUGAAAUUAUUAUGAAUCAACAAUUUUAUUGACAUUUAAAGUUUUAAAAAAAAAUCUAUGAAUUUUAAAUAAAUUUUGGAAGGUAUUUGUAAUGGGGUAUUUUUAUUUGCACUUUCCUAUUAUGUUGAAACAUUGUUUGGUUUCAACAUUGUUUAUUCAAAAUAAUUUCAAUUAUAAUUAUUGGAAAUUAGGAGGUUAUGAUUAUGAGGAAUUGUUUAUUAGUAUGAAUAAACAUUAUUAUUAUUAUUUGAAGCAGAGAAAAAAUUCAUAAUGCAUAGGGAGACCACAGAUUCUAUGGAUUCAACAAUUGAUAAGCCUACUUGUUUAUGGUAUUGUCCCUAACCAGCUAUUCCAUUUUUGAAUUUACUUUUGGUGCAUUUAGUUUGUAACUUGUCUUAUGUUUUACUUAUUUUCAAUUUUUUUUUAAGGUUUAGAUAGUUUUUUUUUUUUUUUAUUUAGAAAAAAAACCUCUUUUGAGCCAUAACUUGAUUCUCUUGCUAUUCUUAUUUUUAACCAUUUUUUCAAUGAGAAAUUAGGUCUUUUUGGCGGAAUUGUAGGAAGUGGAUUGAAUCGAAAAAUUUAUUUGGGCCAGAUUGUGUUUCACUAGAGUCCUGAGAGAUGCAGCUUAGUGAGCUUAUAAUAAAAAGAUAGGCAUUUAAACGGACCAUACUAGUCUGAGUCAUUCUUAGUUUGGCCUAGUGGGCCUUCAGAAUUGCUCCAACAUGAAUUUCAACGUCAACUUCAAUUUUUAAAAUUAAUAAUUAUACAUUUGUUUUAACUAUUUAUAACAAAUAUUAUCUUUGAAAAGUAAAUUUCAAUUAAUUUUUAUAUUUAAAUAAAAAUUAUUAUUAUUUUAAUUAUUUGUAUCCAAAUCAUACUCAAUAUAUUUGAUUUAUCUUACAAUGUUUCAACAUAAUAGGAAAGUGCAAAUAAAAAUACCCCAUUACAAAUACCUUCCAAAAUUUAUUUAAAAUUCAUAGAUUUUUUUUUUUUUUUUUACUUUAAAUAUCAAAAAAAUUGUUGAUUCAUAAUAAUUUCACUUAGAAUUCAUAAAAAAAUAGGAGGAAAAAAAAUUAAAAUAAAAAAUUUUAAGAUCCCUACCCUUCCCAUUUAAUUUUAACAAUUUUUUUUUUCUGAGCAUUGAUUUGUUGAUCGGUUAUCAAGGGCCACUCAUUUGCUUUGUUGGAUCUAACUCUUUAUAAGCAUGCUCUGUUUUGGCUUCGUUUUUUUUAUCUUUGCUUUCUCUUGUAAAUAUCUGAUGCAUUGUUCCUUCUCUGAACUUGAGAUAUAAAAACCAUGCUCUUGUUCCUUGUGGAUUCCACCUGCUCCUAGCUCUUUGACAAUCCAUGAAAUAGAGCUAAGUUCAUACUCUAUUUUUAUGUUUUUAUUAUUCUUUGUUUGUUGUUGAUGGUGGGAUGAUAUUAUCAAUGGCCAAGUUGCUGGGAUUGGAGGAGUGAGGUUAUGGGGAAGUGAACUUAAUGGAGGAUUUUUGUGAUCAUAUCUAUGCUCCAAUCUAUUGGUUCAAAAUGUUGGCCACGAGACUGCAUUGAAGUUUUGGUAUUUGGCAUCACUUUGCCAUCUGGGUUCAGUAAGCAACACAGUGGCAAUAAAGAUGCAUUGGUGUUAUUAAUUUGGGUGAAUAAGUUGGUUGUAUGAAUUGUGAAAGUUCAAGUUGUGCUUUGAGGAGAGUAUAUCUUGCAUCCUACUAUUUUAAUUAUUAAUUUUGGAUGUUGAAAUAUGAUGUGAUCGCACUUCAUAUGCAUCAUGGUUGUGUGAGGAAAAAAAAAGAUUAAAGAAAUGGUUGUGUGAAAUGGAAAUAAGAAUGAAAAGACCCUGGAUAGGGCAAAAAUGAAAAGAAAAGAAAAGAAAAAAAAAUGAAAUGAUCCUAGAGAGGGCGAAUUAAGAAGGAAGUGAGAUCUCUAAGGUGAAAGACCCAAAAGUUUACUUCGGGAAGACUCCAAAUGGGGAGUAUAUUUAGGUAUAGACGUGUAUCCUUUGGUGAAAGUUUGAGAACCACAAUGCAUUGUGUGAUUGCGUGUAAGCAUUUGCAUCAUAAUUGCAUUUGGAAGAAGGAUUUGUAUUAUUUAUCAAGUGUAUGUUUGAAUAUAUUAUUCAAAACUAAAUGACUUGUUUAUUUUCUAAAUUUAGAAUUGUUGAUAUACUAAACAUAUGAUUGAAUAAGGAAAAUGAUAAUUUUGAUUGUUUUAAAUUUGUAUGGUUGAGGUUUCUUUUAGUGUAUAUAUUGUAAAUGUAAUAUUAUAUCUUGACAUAUGAUUGUGUUAUUGACCUAGAAUUUCUAACCUAUUUGGGUGUAAAACACCCUACUAAGCAACGUGAAAAUACUCACCCCUUUAUUUUCUAAAAUUUUUAGAUGUAGAUAUAGUUUCAGAGGGGCCACAAGAAGUUCAAGAAGCGUUCUAGAAAGCAAAAGAACUAUAAUAAUAGUUGUUUUUAAAUUUAUAUUUCUCCUUUUACAUGUACCAAUUUGAAUUAUAUGGGCUUUUGUAUGUUAAAUUAUAUUUUGUUAGAUUGUAAAACAUUUUUGAAAAUAUUUUUUUUGACUUAGAGAUUAUUGUAAAUAUUUGAGCUUUUGGGCAAAAAGAUGACUGGUGGAUUUAUUAUACUUGUGAAUAAGAGAUAAUGUGAUGGUUGGUUUUAGAAAAAUAAAAUAUUACAGUAAAUCUUAACUUAAUAAAUUUAUUUAAAAUUAGACGUUUUAUUAUUUAAAAAAAAAAAGUUUCAAAGUGUUUUGAUUGAUUGUUAGUGUGGAUAGGAAUAACCCUUAGGGUCAAACCCUUGGGCCGACUAUGUAGGUGAAUACCCAAUUGUACCCACAUGAAUCAGCCGUCAAUCUUACAAAUCCAAGGGCAAAGUAGUCAUUCCAAUUCAAACCAAACCAAGCCAUGAUUCAUGAAAACUGCUGGCCACAGCUCCUGGUUUUUCCCAAACUUUGGGCACCAAAUCCAAACCCAUCUCUUGCUAUAUAACCAACCCACCUUCACCUCAUCUUCUUCAUCACAACACAACUACCUUGAUUUAUAGAGAGAUCUUCUAUAUCCAUUCACUACUCAGAAUCACCUCUUUCUAUUGUUGAUUGUUGUUUGGGUUUCGGAGAAAGAAAAUUAAGAAGAUGAGUCAUAUGGGGAAAGCUUGGUUAGUGGCAGCAAGUGUGGGAGCAGUGGAGGCACUCAAGGAUCAGGGCUUCUGCAGAUGGAACUACACUCUGAGGUCUAUUCACCAGCAUGCCAAGACCAACCUCAGGUCCUUUGCUCAGGCCAAGAAGCUCUCUUCUUCCUCUUCCGCCAUGGUUUCCAGCAGAGUGAGAGAGGAGAAGGCCAAGCAGUCAGAGGAGUCUCUGAGGACUGUCAUGUACUUGAGCUGCUGGGGACCCAACUGAAGAAGAAGAUAUGAAGAUGGAUGAUCAUCAGCCUGCUCUUGAAGCAUCCAGGGAGGGCAUAUUCCAAGAAAGUAACGGAAAAUUGAGAUGAAGAAGCUGCAGUGAAGCAAUUUCAUGGAAUUUUUGCUUGGAGACUCACGAAUUACAACCAAUUGCUCAGGGUUGGGAAAAUUGGAAUUGGUGUAAAUUGUGACUGGGUCUUUGUAAAACCCACAUCAUUUAGCUAGAAAAGCUUUGAAAAUACAUUUUAAUUUAAUUUAUAAUUUCUAUGUUAGAAUAUUAGAUCCAAUUCCUAAAAAGCUUAUCAGCCUUGUAUAUAUGGCUAAGCAGGUCAACUUCCCAAGCUCAAGCGCAUUAAGAAAUUCUCAGACCUACCUUUUUUUUAUAGAAUUUUUGGGAAGUUUUACAGCAAUUGAAAACAAAUCUUAAAAGGGUCGGGAAAUUAUUUGAAAAAAUAUGGCAGAUUUGGUCACAUAGGUGAUAAAGAGGUGAUAAAGUUGGUACAACGCCCAAAAUUAAACUCUCAAUUAAUUUAAUUGAACAAAUAAUCAUAAAAGAGAUUUUUUUAAUUUAUGAUUUUUAUUUUUUUAUUUAUACUUUUUGAAAAAGAAAAUUCCAGUGAAAUAUGUUCGUGUAGACUGUGUGGCAGGAUGCAGACUAAACAAAGAAAUUGACACGUGCUUGAAGUCCGGCCCUACACAUAGCCCCAUUGGAAAACAGCGGUUUCAUCCUCCGUACUCUUUGGGCGUUAAGUGGGUUCACAAACCAAACAAUGGGCUGCCCCAACACAGCAACACUUAGACUGAGGACAAACUAUGUAGGUGAAUACCCAAUUAUACCCACAUGAAUCAGUGGUCAAUCUUUCAAAUCUAAGGACAGAGUAGUCAUUCCAAUUCAAACCAAACAAAGCUAUGAGAACUGCUGGCCACAGCCUCUGGUUUCCCCAAAACUUUGGGCAGUAUUCCUCAAAGAAUCAAGUGGGCUAGAGUUAAUAACUACGUCCACCAUGGUUAGAUUAUUGGGGGCUAGAGUUAAUAACUUCAUCGACCAUGGUUAGAUUAUUGGUAUCUCGAUGGGAGAAGUUGUUUUGAUGGAAAAACAUUGUAUUUUAUUAUUUUGUAAAUUUUAUCAUCACUCAUAUAUAUUAUUUUUUAUUUAAAAUUAAAUAAAAAAUUAAAAUUCUUAGAAAAUACGAAAAGAAAGUAUAUCACAAUCUUUAUUUUCUAUUCUAAAAUUAAAAAAUAAAAAUAAAAUUAUGAAGAAAAAAGUACAUUCCAACUUACAUUAAUUAAGGGAUGAUAUACUGUGUAAAUAAAAAAUAUAAAAAAUAAUUAAAGGUUAAAUAAAUCACUUAAUAAAUCGGUAGUAUGGGUUGAUGGUUUCAUUAUUAGACUAUAACAAGGAUUUUCUUUUUCUUUUUCUUUUUAAAUGCAUUUCAUGGUGGUGUAGAAUUUUUUUGUAUAAGGGUUUUUAAAUUGUAAUAUAGAUUAUACAUAUAGUUGUGUUUUGUCCUAAAUUCUGACUUCCAAGUUUUCAACAUUAUAUAAAAAUUCCUAAAAUCACCUACUUCGUAGGUUUUAUAACAUUAUAUAAAAAGCCAUGAAUUCACCUAUUAGAAAAAUGUUAUUUGGUGCGCUAUCAUUACCAUGACCUCAAUCUCGUGCAAAGAUACCGAGUGGUUACAAAUAGUAAAAAAUAAAUAAUAAAAACAAAAUAUAUUCAUUAUUAUUAUUAUUAUUUUGUUCUUUUAUCAUCCAUUAUUCACAUCUUAGCAUAUGAUAGAAAAGAUGAUAAAAGAUUAUUUAUGUUAUAUGAUUUUAAGUGAAAUGAUCAAAAUAUUUAAAGAAAAAAUUAAUAAUUCAUGAAGAAUUUUUGGUAAAUUUAUAAAUUUGUAAUAAAUAUUGAUAAAUGAUAAACAAAGUAGUUUUUAAAGUGGUUGCAGCAGUUAAACAUUGUAUCUUAUUAUGAUUUUCCACCCUCAAAACUUAAUAAUAAAAUUUCAUAACAAAUUUUUAUCUAUUUGAAACUUUUGAAAUGUGAAAUCUUUUCUUGGACAUUUUUAUAUAUACAUUUGUGAAUUUUAUCUUUAUUUUUUAUUUAUAAAAUUAAAGGAUAAAAUUAAAAUGUUAAAAAUAAAAGAGAAGUAUAUCCCAACUUGCAUCAAUUAAGAGAAGAUAUAUUAAGCAUGUGAAGAAUGCAAAAAAAAUUAAUGAUAAAAUAAAUCACUUAGUAGAUAGUAUUUAAUGAUUUACAUUAUUAGAUUGUAGCAAUGAGUUAUAUUUUUAUUUUUGUGUAUAGGGGAUUUUAAAUUAUAAUAUAUAUUUUUUUAUUUUUGAGUUAGUUUUCUUUGUUGAUACAUAGUUUUUUUUUUGUCUUGGAUAUUGUGUUAUCAACAGUUUUAAAAGAAAUAAAAAUUAUUUAUCCCACAUCGAUUCAAAACUAAAAAUAUUAUAUAUAUUUAUUAAAACUUUGAUACUCUUAAAAAAUACAAGUACAACCAAUAAGCAAGCAUAGGGAUGGCAACGGGGUGGGUAUGGGACAUGCCACCCCUACCCCAUUUCCAUCCCGGUUAUAUAUUUUUUUGCCCAUCCUUGUCCCAAACUCGGGGCGGGGCGAGUUGGUGUCCCCCUUACCUAUUUACAAAAGAACUGAUAAUCUCAUCUCCGUCCCAAAUGUAUUUUCGGGAAUUAUGCUUUUACAAAACAUAGGUCUCUGAAAUUUCAAUAUAUGUUAUAUGGGUUAUCAUAAACACAUUUAAUCAAGCAUUUGUUGUGCAACAAAACUGCAAAUUACACAUAUGAGAACAAAAUGCACAGAUCUACAAAUAAACAACCCAAAAAAUCUCAAAUCCAUAAACCAAAACCAGAAAAUAUGAAAAACAAGACAUUCUAACAAAGCCUCAAAACAUAGUAUUUAAUGAUUUACAUUAUUAGAUUGUAGCAAUGAGUUAUAUUUUUAUUUUUGUGUAUAGGGGAUUUUAAAUUAUAAUAUAUAUUUUUUUAUUUUUGAGUUAGUUUUCUUUGUUGAUACAUAGUUUUUUUUUUGUCUUGGAUAUUGUGUUAUCAACAGUUUUAAAAGAAAUAAAAAUUAUUUAUCCCACAUCGAUUCAAAACUAAAAAUAUUAUAUAUAUUUAUUAAAACUUUGAUACCCUUAAAAAAUACAAGUACAACCAAUAAGCAAGCAUAGGGAUGGCAACGGGGUGGGUAUGGGACAUGCCACCCCUACCCCAUUUCCAUCUCGGUUAUAUAUUUUUUUGCCCAUCCUUGUCCCAAACUCGGGGCAGGGCGAGUUGGUGUCCCCUUUACAUGUUUACAAAAGAACUGAUAAUCUCAUCCCCGUCCCAAAUGUAUUUUCGGGAAUUAUGCUUUUACAGAACAUAGGUCUCUGAAAUUUCAAUAUACGUUAUAUGGGUUAUCAUAAACACAUUUAAUCAAGCAUUUGUUGUGCAACAAAACUGCAAAUUACACAUAUGAGAACAAAAUGCACAGAUCUACAAAUAAACAACCCAAAAAAUCUCAAAUCCAUAAACCAAAACCAGAAAAUAUGAAAAACAAGACAUUCUAACAAAGCCUCAAAACUUAGGGUUUUCUUACCUGGAAAUGAGGAAUCCAUAGAAACCCUAAUAAUUUGUUGUCUACGAAUUUGGUUUUUGGUUUUUAGAGCAAAAAUUGUGCUUUUAGGGUGAAAUGGGAAGAAGCAAUUUAGGAAUAAAUGAGAAAACGGGAAGAAAUGAGAAAAUGAAAGGCCUCUUACAAGCAAAAGAACCCUGAGCAAUUUAGGAAGAAAUGAGAAAACGGGAAGAAAUGAGAGCGAAAGCCCUCUAAUUCUCUCACGAGCGAAAUAACCCUAAAACUUGAGGAAGAAAUGAUUAUAUACGGAGAACUUUUUGGGUAUUUUGUAAUGAUAUAAGGGUAAAUUGGUAAUUCACAUACGGGACGGGGUAGAAACUGCAAAACCCAUCCCUGCCUUAAACCCGAUUCGGGUUUUUAUAUAUUCCCCAAACCCGUUUUAUACCCGAAUAGAAUAUUCUCAUACCCGUCCCAAUAGGGAUGGGGCGGGUGACCCGGAUUACCCAGAAAAUUGUAGUUCCUAAGCAAGCAUUGAGCUAAAUCCUAAUCUCACAUUCCUGCUCGAAACUUUACACUCACAUAAAAACAACUCACCACUUGACUCGAUGGACUAUUCCGUAACUUCUCACUACCAACAACCAGGCACUAUUCAACCUCUCGCUCACUUAUAAAUUCACUCCCUACCUGCAUAUUCAAAACAUAUCUUACUACUAUUCUACUCUACUAUUCUACUUUUCGUGGUUUCAUAUCUCACUAUUAUUCUACUUUUCGCGGUUUCAUAUCUCACUACUAUUCGCGUGUUCAAAGUGUGCAUAUUCAAAGUGUAUCCCUCCUUGAAUUAAUUGUGAAUUAAUUUAGGCUUCAAAGUGUGUUGCUCUACAACAUCCCUCCUAGUCAGGCCUCAAAGUAAGAACAACAACAUCUACAAUAUCUGCCAUGGCCACACAACCAAGGCAUGUGGUAUGCCUCAUUUUCUCAUGUCCUUUUCCCAUUUUGUUCCCUCUUUUCAUCUCCAUUUUGUUUUCAAUAUUCCCUUACCUUACUCAUAUUCUCUAAAAUUAGAUAAAAUUAUUAAUUUGAUCAUAUUUAUCUAACAUUUUUAAUUAGUACUACUAGUAUCUUAUUUUCAUAAAUCUAAUUGAAUUUCCUACUUAUUUAUUUAUUGUUUUCAUGACAAAAAUUCAUCAGCUUUCAUAUCUUUCCUUACAAUUCUGAGUUCAACUGUCCUUGCGAAAUACCAAUAUGAGAAUGUUUCCCCAUUUGCCCAACACAACAUAGGUAUGCAAAUCUCCUUAUUUGCAUCAUUUAUAUAUUUCAUGAUGGUUGUGGCUUAUGAAAUCCUUGAUUCUAAUGGAACUAUCAAAAUUGAAGAAGAUGGAAGAUAUCUCCUUAUUUUGGGUCAUGUUUAGUUCUUAAGUGGAACAGCAGCUGCAACUUUGUUGAUCCUGAUCUUGAUCCCAUAUUUUGGAUGGUUCUUUCUGAUCAUGUGGACCAUGUUCUUAGUGAAAAUAGCAUGCUAUUGGGAUAAAACAUUUUAUAACUUUGACAUGUUCAAGAAUAAAAAAAAAUGCCAAUGAUAAGGAAUGAGGACAAGAGGAGCAACGACCCCAAGUUUAGAGUAGGUUUGGUCUAUAAGAGGUUAUUAGCAAAAAACAUAUUUUCUUCUUGUACUUUUGAAAGUGUUAUAUAAGUGUCAUAUUUUGAGUAAUGAGAGUAUUUUUUUUUCCUUUUUUCUUUUUCUCUAAUACAUUAUUGUUGAUUAUUCUUCGCUGGAAUACCCACAAGGCUAUUAGAUGUUUCAUUGCAAAUAUGGUUUUAUAUGAUAGCAUUACGAUUGAACUUAUAAAACAUAUUUUCUACAUAUUGUUUAGCUGGGCCUCCCAACUACCUCUCGGUAAUAUCCUCUUAACAUAGGAAGUAUAAACUAAUAGCAAGUGCUAAUCUUUCCCAUUCUUACACAAGAAAGACCCAAGGAGAAGGUAUAUUUAGAAAUUGCAUAUCUAUGUUCCCAAACAAUAGAAAAUUCAAUAUAUGGCACUUCACUCUCUACUUUUCUUUCCCACAUUUUCUCAUAACCCAAAUAUGCUCACCUCUCAUUCUAAGAUCCAACCAUUGAAAAACAAUUACAAAAAUCCUAAUAAAAGAGAUAGAUCAUACUACAAUUACACUUUCUUACAAGAAAUUGAAGUGUAGAAGGUAUAACAAUUGAGUGAAACAAAUAAAAACCAACCUCCUUUAACACACCUGCUAAUGAAAUACUUGUAGAGACACUAUAAAUCCCUCCAGACUCCAAAAGAUACUGAUCAACAGCCUCGGCACUUGCAGCGACGAGACCAAUCCUUGGUACGAUAUAAUGCACGAACUCGACACGGAAUCGGUAAGACUCAGUUAGAUUACAGAAAAAUUUUCAAACAUUCUUUUUUUCUUUCCAAUCAUAAUAAAACAUUAGAAUAUUUUCCAAAAGCAAACACCCAUGAUUUUGAAAUUGGAGCUUUUAAACCAGAAGAUCAAAGAAGACGAAGAAGAAAAAACCCAACCCCUGACCCGUUCAGAAAUAAGAGGAGAAACCACCGAAUGAUGAAGGCAUGAUUUAGGAUUUACUUACUUGAUUUUCCUAAAAAUCGAGAAUCACCAGAGGGUGGAGGUUUGGUGUCGGCGGUGGUAACUUGUCAAGUGGACUAAAUCUUGCAACGAGGACGUCAGCCAGGCAACCCUCACAGUCAGAUUGCUCCCCCUCCGGGGUCUUUCAUAGUUGUAAAUUUGCAAUUGCAAGUGGUGUCAUUUGUCGGCGGUCUUGACAGCAAAGGUGGUAUGCAAGGUGUGGGAGAUUGGGAGCCCUAAUUGGUAAAGUAAAAAAUGCAUUUUAUAUGGAUUUACAUUGAUGAUAUGAGAUAGGAUUUGAUGGUAACUUAUUAAAUUAAAUUAAAUGAUUGAGUCUAAAAUGAUAUGGAUGGUAUGAGAUAGGAUUUAAUGAAAAAUUAAAUGUAUUUAUAUGGCAGAUUGAGAAUUAAAUCUCCAAUUCUUAGUAUUAUUAUAAAUAGCUUUGAGUUAAAUGUGAAAUUUUUUUGUUUUAUUAAUUUUUUAAGCUUAUUUAAUUUCUAUCUAUUUUUUUUAUAUAAUUUACAUAACAUUUUUAUAAUUUUAUGAAAUUUCUAAUUAUCUUAUUUUGCGUAAUGCUUGAUACUGAAUCGAGAUGUCAAGACCAACAUGUCUCGGGAUCAUCUGAGUCAAUGAUCGAUAUCGCGACUUUGAACCAUACUCGUCUCCAAUCCCUCAACAAUGAUGAAAAAUGAGGCCAACGUAGUUGCCUUUUUUAUUAUUAUCAGUUAAAAAUAAUGAAUCUAAAUUCAUGUAUUAUCAAGAAUAAAUAAGUUUAUAUUUAUAAAUUUUUAUUAUAAAUUUAUAUUUACACAUAUCCUUGAUUUUCCUCAAGGUUUUAUUUUUAAUUGAUUACAAAGCAUUAGUACUUAUUUAAUUUAAAAUGUAUUAAAUAAAUAUUAAUAUUAUAUAAAUAAAUAAAAGUUGAAUUUGAAUAAAAAAUUUAUAUAUAUAUAUCAUAUUCUUCAUGAAUAUGAAUCUAUUAUUAAAGAUACAUGGUAAUAAGUGUUAAUAUUAUAUAAUCAAAUGAGAGAGUACAAAAAUGUUCUAUUAUUAGCAAUACAUUAUUAUAAUAAUAAGAUACUUAAUAUAAUGUAAAUAAAUAAAAGUCGUCAUAAAUUUAAAUUUGAAUUUAUAUUUUAAAACCCAUCACAUUUAUUUUUAUUUUUUUAAAAUUUUAAGAAUUUUUUCUCCACUUCAAAUAGCAAUAAUAGUGUUUAUUCAUACUAAUUAUACUUAAAAUUGAUGAAAAUUAUGAAAAAAAAAACCCAUACCCUUCAAAUUUAUAUUUGUUUUAAUUUUAAAUUUUUUUUCUCUACUUCAAGUAAUAAUAAUAAUAAUGUUUAUUCAUACUAAUAACAAUAAAAUUAAUGAAAAUGAUGAAAAAUAAAAAAUUGUUUGGUUUCAACAUUGUUUAUUCAAAAUAAUUUUUUUUAUUUGCACUUUCCUACUAGGCCAAACUAAGAAUGACUCAGACCAGUAUGGUCCGUUUAAAUGCCUAUCUUUUUAUUAUAAGCUCACUAAGCUGCAUCUCUCAAGACUCUAGUGAAACACAAUCUGGCCCAAAUAAAUUUUCCGAUUCAAUCCACUUCCUACAAUUCCGCCAAAAAGACCUAAUUUCUCAUUGAAAAAAUGGUUAAAAAUAAGAAUAGCAAGAGAAUCAAGUUAUGGCUCAAAAAAGGUUUUUUUUUUUUCUUAAAAAAAAAAAAAAAAACUAUCUAAACCUUAAAAAAAUUGAAAAUAAGUAAAACAUAAGAUAAGUUACAAACUAAAUGCACCAAAAGUAAAUUCAAAAAUGGAAUAGCUGGUUAGGGACAAUACUAUAAACAAGUAGGCUUAUCAAUUGUUGAAUCCAUAGAAUCUGUGGUCUCCCUAUGCAUUAUGAAUUUUUUCUUUGCUUCAAAUAAUAAUAAUAAUAAUAAUAAUAAUGUUUAUUCAUACUAAUAAACAAUUCUUCAUAAUCAUAACCUCCUAAUUUCCAAUAAUUAUAAUUGAAAUUAUUUUAAAUAAACAAUGUUGAAACCAAACAAUGUUUCAACAUAAUAGGAAAGUGCAAAUAAAAAUACCCCAUUACAAAUACCUUCCAAAAUUUAUUUAAAAUUCAUAGAUUUUUUUUUUUACUUUAAAUAUCAAAAAAAUUAUUGAUUCAUAAUAAUUUCACUUAGAAUUCAUAAAAAAAUAUGAGGAAAAAAAAUUAAAAUAAAAAAUUUUAAGAUCCCUACCCUUCCCAUUUAAUUUUAACAAUUUUUUUCUGAGCAUUGAUUUGUUGAUCGGUUAUCAAGGGCCACUCAUUUGCUUUGUUGGAUCUAACUCUCUAUAAGCAUGCUUUGUUUUGGCUUCGUUUUUUUUAUCUUUGCUUUCUCUUGUAAAUAUCUGAUGCAUUGUUCCCUCUUUGAACUUGAGAUAUAAAAACCAUGCUCUUGUUCCUUGUGGAUUCCACCUGCUCCUAGCUCUUUGAUAAUCCAUGAAAUAGAGCUAAGUUCAUACUCUAUUUUUAUGUUUUUAUUAUUCUUUGUUUGUUGUUGAUGGUGGGAUGAUAUUAUCAAUGGCCAAGUUGCUGGGAUUGGAGGAGUGAGGUUAUGGGGAAGUGAACUUAAUGGAGGAUUUCUGUGAUCAUAUCUAUGCUCCAAUCUAUUGGUUCCAAAUGUUGGUCACGAGACUGCAUUGAAGUUUUGGUAUUUGGGAUCACUUUGCCAUCUGGGUUUAGUAAGCAACACAGUGGCAAUAAAGAUGCAUUGGUGUUAUUAAUUUGGGUGAAUAAGUUGGUUGUAUGAAUUGUGAAAGUUCAGGUUGUGCUUUGAGGAGAGUAUAUCUUGCAUCCUACUAUUUUAAUUAUUAAUUUUGGAUGUUGAAAUAUGAUGUGAUUGCACUUCAUAUGCAUCAUGGUUGUGUGAGGAAAAAGAAAUAUUAAAGAAAUGGUUGUGUGAAAUGGAAAUAAGAAUGAAAAGACCCUGGAUAGGGCAAAAAUGAAAAGAAAAGAAAAAAAAAAUGAAAUGAUCCUAGAGAGGGCGAAUUAAGAAGGAAGUGAGAUCUCUAAGCUGAAAGACCCAAAAGUUUACUUCGAGAAGACUCCGAAUGGGGAGUAUAUUUAGGUAUAGACGUGUAUCCUUUGGUGAAAGCUUGAGAACCACAGUGCAUUGUGUGAUUGCGUGUAACCAUUUGCAUCAUAAUUGUAUUUGGAAGAAGGAUUUGUAUUAUUUAUCAAGUGUAUGUUUGAAUAUAUUAUUCAAAACUAAAAUGACUUGUUUAUUUUGUAAAUUUAGAAUUGUUGAUAUACUAAACAUAUGAUUGAAUAAGGAAAAUGAUAAUUUUGAUUGUUUUAAAUUUGUAUGGUUGGGGUUUCUUUUAGUGUAUAUAUUGUAAAUGUAAUAUUAUAUCUUGACAUAUGGUUGUGUUAUUGACUUAGAAUUUCUAACCUAUUUGGGUGUAAAACACCCUACUAAGCAACGUGAAAAUGCUCACCCCUUUAUUUUCUAAAAUUUUUAGAUGCAGAUAUAGUUUCAGAGGGGCCGCAAGAAGUUCAAGAAGCGUUCUAGAAAGCAAAAGAACUAUAAUAAUAGUUGUUUUUAAAUUUAUAUUUAUCCUUUUACAUGUACCAAUUUGAAUUAUAUGGGCUUUUGUAUGUUAAAUUAUAUUUUGUUAGAUUGUAAAACAUUUUUGGAAAUAUUUUUUUUGACUUAGAGAUUAUUAUAAAUAUUUGAGCUUUUGGACAGAAAGAUGACUGGUGGAUUUAUUAUACUUGUGAAUAAGAGAUAGUGUGAUGGUUGGUUUUAGAAAAAUAAAAUAUUAUAAUAAAUCUUAACUUAAUAAAUUUAUUUAAGAUUAGACGUUUUAUUAUUUAAAAAAAAAAAGUUUCAGAGUUUUUUGAUUGAUUGUCAGUGUGGAUAGGAGUAAUCCUUAGGGUCAAACCCUUGGCCGACUAUGUAGGUGAAUACCCAAUUAUACCCACAUGAAUCAGCCGUCAAUCUUACAAAUCCAAGGGCAAAGUAGUCAUUCCAAUUCAAACAAAACCAAGCCAUGAUUCAUGAAAACUGCUGGCCACAGCUCCUGGUUUUUCCCAAACUUUGGGCACCAAAUCCAAACCCAUCUCUUGCUAUAUAACCAACCCACCUUCACCUCAUCUUCUUCAUCACAACACAACUACCCUGAUUUACAGAGAGAUUUUCUAUAUCCAUUCACUACUCAGAAUCACCUCUUUCUAUUGUUGAUUGUUGUUUGGGUUUCGGAGAAAGAAAAUUAAGAAGAUGAGUCAUGUGGGGAAAGCUUGGUUAGUGGCAGCAAGUGUGGGAGCAGUGGAGGCACUCAAGGAUCAGGGCUUCUGCAGAUGGAACUACACUCUGAGGUCUAUUCACCAGCAUGCCAAGACCAACCUCAGGUCCUUUGCUCAGGCCAAGAAGCUCUCUUCUUCCUCUUCCGCCAUGGUUUCCAGCAGAGUGAGAGAGGAGAAGGCCAAGCAGUCAGAGGAGUCUCUGAGGACUGUCAUGUACUUGAGCUGCUGGGGACCCAACUGAAGAAGAAGAUAUGAAGAUGGAUGAUCAUCAGCCUGCUCUUGAAGCAUCCAGGGAGGGCAUAUUCCAAGAAAGUAACGGAAAAUUGAGAUGAAGAAACUGCAGUGAAGCAAUUUCAUGGAAUUUUUGCUUGGAGACUCACGAAUUACAACCAAUUGCUCAGGGUUGGGAAAAUUGGAAUUGGCGUAAAUUGUGACUGGGUCUUUGUAAAACCCACAUCAUUUAGCUAGAAAAGCUUUGAAAAUACAUUUUAAUUUAAUUUAUAAUUUCUAUGUUAGAAUAUUAGACCCAAUUCCUAAAAAGCUUGUCAGCCUUGUAUAUAUGGCUAAGCAGGUCAACUUCCCAAGCUCAAGCGCAUUAAGAAAUUCUCAAACCUACCUUUUUUUUAUAGGAUUUUUGGGAAGUUUUACAGCAAUUGAAAACAAAUCUUAAAAGGGUCGGGAAAUUAUUUGAAAAAAUAUGGCAGAUUUGGUCACAUAGGGGAUAAAGAGGUGAUAAAGUUGGUACAACGCCCAAAAUUAAACUCUCAAUUAAUUUAAUUGAACAAAUAAUCAUAAAAGAGAUUUUUUUAAUUUAUGAUUUUUAUUUUUUUAUUUAUACUUUUUGAAAAAGAAAAUUCCAGUGAAAUAUGUUCGUGUAGACUGUGUGGCAGGAUGCAGACUAAACAAAGAAAUUGACACGUGCUUGAAGUCCGGCCCUACACAUAGCCCCAUUGGAAAACAGCGGUUUCAUCCUCCGUACUCUUUGGGCGUUAAGUGGGUUCACAAACCAAACAAUGGGCUGCCCCAACACAGCAACACUUAGACUGAGGACAAACUAUGUAGGUGAAUACCCAAUUAUACCCACAUGAAUCAGUGGUCAAUCUUUCAAAUAUAAGGACAGAGUAGUCAUUCCAAUUCAAAUCAAACAAAGUUAUGAGAACUGCUGGCCACAGCCUCUGGUUUCCCCAAAACUUUGGGCACUAUUCCUCAAAGAAUCAAGUGGGCUAGAGUUAAUAACUUCGUCCACCAUGGUUAGAUUACUGGGGGCUAGAGUUAAUAACUUCAUCCACCAUGGUUAGAUUAUUGGUAUCUCGAUGGGAGAAGUUGUUUUGACGGUAAAACAUUGUAUUUUAUUAUUUUGUAAAUUUUAUCAUCACUCAUAUAUAUUAUUUUUUAUUUAAAAUUAAAUAAAAAAUUAAAAUUCUUAGAAAAUGCGAAACAAAAGUAUAUCACAACUUAUAUUAAUUAAACGUCUUUAUUUUCUAUUCUAAAAUUAAAAAACAAAAUUAAAAUUAUCAAGAAAAAAGUACAUUCCAACUUACAUUAAUCAAGGGAUGAUAUACUGUACAAAUAAAAAAUAAUAAAAAUAAUUAAAGGUUAAAUAAAUCGCUUAAUAAAUUGAUAGUAUGGGUUGAUGGUUUCAUUAUAAGACCAUAACAAGGAUUUUCUUUUUCUUUUUCUUUUUAAAUGCAUUUCACGGUGGUGUAGAAUUUUUUUGUAUAAGGGUUUUUAAAUUAUAAUAUUGAUUAUAUAUAUAGGUGUGUUUUGUCCUAAAUUCCGAUUUCCAAGUUUCCAACAUUAUAUAAAAAUCCCUAAAAUCAUCUACUUCGUAAGUUUUCUAACAUUAUAUAAAAAGCCCUGAAUUCACUUAUUAGGAAAAUGCUAUUUGGUGCACUACCAUCACCAUGACCUCAACCUCGUGUAAAGAUAUCAAGUGGUUACUAAUAAUAAAAAAUAAAUAAUAAAAACAAAAUGUAUUCAUUAUUAUUAUUAUUAUUAUUUUGUACUUUUACCAUCCAUUGUUCACAUCUUAGCAUAUGGUAGAAAAGAUGAUAAAUGAUUAUUUAUGUCAUAAUUUUUAAGUGAAGUGAUCAAAAUAUUUAAAGAAAAAAUUAAUAAUUGAUGAAUAAUUUUUGGUAAAUUUAUAAAUUUGUAAUAAAUAUUAAUAAAUGAUAAACAAAGUAGUUUUUAAAGCGGUUGUAGUAGUUAAACAUUAUAUCUCAUUAUGAUUUUCCACCUUCAAAACUUAAUAAUAAAAUUUCAUAACAAAUUUUUAUCUAUUUAAAACUUUUGAAAUGUGAAAUCUUUUCUUGGACAUCUUUAUAUAUACAUUUGUGAAUUUUCUCUUUAUUUGCUAUUUAUAAAAUUAAAGGAUAAAGUUAAAAUGUUAAAAAUAAAAGAGAAGUAUAUCCCAACUUACAUCAAUUAAGAGAAGAUAUAUUAAGCACAUGAAGAAUGCAAAAAAAAAUUAAUGAUAAAAUAAAUCACUUAUUAGUUAGUAUUUAAUGAUUUACAUUAUUAGAUUGUAGCGAUGAGUUAUAUUUUUAUUUUUGUGUAUAGGUGAUUUUAAAUUAUAAUAUUUUUUAUUUUAUUUUUGAGUUAGUUUUCUUUGUUGAUACAUAGGUUUUUUUUUUUUUUUUUGUCUUGGAUAUUGUGUUAUCUACAGUUUUAAAAGAAAUAAAAAUUAUUUAUCCCACAUUGAUUCAAAACUAAAAAUAUUAUAUAUAUAUUUGUUAAAACUUUGAUACCCUUAAAAAAUACAAGUACAACCAAUAAGCAGGCAUAGGGAUGGCAACGGGGUAGGUAUGGGACGGGCCACCCCUACCCCAUUUCCAUCCCGGUUAUAUAUUUUUUUUUCCAUCCCCGUCCCAAACCCAGGGCGGGGCGAGUUGGUGUCUCCUAUGCCCAUUUACAAAAGAGCUGAUAAUCUCAUCCCCAUCCCAAAUGUAUUUUCGGGAAUUAUGCUUUUACAGAACAUGGGUCUCUGAAAUUUCAAUAAACGUUAUAUGGGUUAUCAUAAACACAUUUAAUCAAGCAUUUGUUGUGCAACAAAACUGCAAACUGCACACAUGAGAACAAAAUGCACAGAUCUACAAAUAAACAACCCAAAAAAUCUCAAAUCCAUCAACCAAACCAGAAAAUAUGAAAAACAAGACAUUUCUAACAAAGCCUCAAAACUUAGGGUUUUCUUACCUGGAAAUGAGGAAUCCAUAGAAACCCUAAUAAUUUGUUGUCUACGAAUUUGGUAUUUUGGUUUUCAAAGCAAAAAAUGUGCUUUUAGGGUGAAACGGGAAGAAACAAUUUAGGAAUAAAUGAGAAAACGAGAAGAAAUGAGAAAACAAAAGCCCUAUUACGAGCAAAAGAACCCUGAGCAAUUUAGGAAGAAAUGAGAAAACGGGAAGAAAUGAGAAAACAAAAAGCCUCUUACGAGCAAAAGAAUCCUAAGCAAUUUAGGAAGAAAUGAGAAAACUAGAAGAAAUGAGAAUGAAAGCCCUCUGAGAGCGAAAACCCUCUAAGAGUGAAAGCCCUCUGACUCUCUCACGAGUGAAAUAACCCUAAAAUUUGAGGAAGAAAUGAUUAUAUAUGGAGGACUUUUUGGGUAUUUUGUAAUGACAUAAGGGUAAAUCGGUAAUUCACAUACGGGAUGGGGCGGAAACUGCAAAACCCAUCCCUGCCCUGAACCCGAUUUGGGUUUUUAUAUAUUCCCCAAACCCGUUCUAUACCCGAAUAAAAUAUUCCCAUACCCGUCCCAAUAGGGGCGGGUGACCCGAAUUACUCGGAAAAUUACCAUUCCUAAGCAAGCAUUGAGCUAAAUCCUAAUCUCACAUUCUUGCUCGAAACUUUACACUCAAAUAAAAACAAUUCACCACUUGACUCGAGGGACUAUUCCGUAACUUCUCACUACCAACAACCAGGCACUAUUCGACCUCUCGCUCGCUUAUAAAUUCACUCCCUACUUGCAUAUUCAAAGCGUAUCUCACUACCAUUCUACUCUACUAUUCUACUUUUCGCGGUUUCAUAUCUCACUACUAUUCGCGUGUUCAAAGUGUGCAUAUUCAAAGUGUAUCCCUCCUUGAAUUAAUUGUGAAUUAAUUUAGGCUUCAAAGUGUGUUGCUCUACAAUAUCCUUCCUAGUCAGGCUUCAAAGUAAGAGCAACAACAUCUACAAUAUCUACCAUGGCCACACAACCAAGGUAUGCGGUAUGCCGCCUUUUCUCAUGUCCUUUUCCCAUUUUGUUCCCUCUUUUCAUCUCCAUUUUGUUUUCAAUAUUCUCUUACCUUACUCAUAUUCUCUAAAAUUAGAUAAAAUUAUUAAUUUGAUCAUAUUUAUCUAACAUUUUUAAUUAGUACUACUAGUAUCUUAUUUUCAUAAAUCUAAUUGAAUUUUCUACUUAUUUAUUUAUUGUUUUCAUGACAGAACUUCACCAGCUUUCAUAUCUUUCCUUACAAUUUUGAGUUCAGUUGUCCUUGCGAAGUACCAAUAUGAGAAUGUUUCCCCAUUUUCCCAACACAACAUAGGUAUGCAAAUCUCCUUAUUUGCAUCAUUUAUAUAUUUCAUGAUGGUUGUGGUUUAUGAAAUCCUUGAUUCUGAUGGAACUGUCAAAGUUGAAGAAGAUGGAAGAUAUCUCCUUAUUUUGGGCCUGUUCGGUUCUUAAGUGGAACAGCAGCUGCAACUUUGUUGAUCCUGAUCUUGAUCCCAUAUCUUGGAUGGUUCCUUUUGGUCAUGUAGACCAUGUUCUUAGUGAAAAUAGCAUGCUAUUGGGAUAAAACAUUUUAUAACUUUGACAUGUUCAAGAAUAAAAAAAAAUGCCAAUGAUAGGGAAGGAAGACAAGAGGAGCAGCGACGCCAAGUUUAGAGUAGGUUUGGUCCAACAGAGGUUAUUAGCAAAAAACAUAUUUUCUUCUUGUACUUUCGAAAGUGUUAUAUAAGUGUUAUAUUUUGAGUAAUGAGAGUAUUUUUUUCCUUUUUUCUUUUUCUCUAAUACAUUAUUGGUGAUUAUUCUUCAUCGGAAUACCCACAAGGUUAUUAGAUGUUUAAUUGCAAAUAUGGUUUUAUAUGAUAGCAUUAUGAUUGAACUAAUAAAACAUAUUUUUUUGCAUAUUGUUUAGCUGGACUUCCCAACUACCUCUGGGUAAUAUCCUUUUAACAUAGGAAGUAUAAACUAAUAGCAAGUGCUAAUCUUUCCCAUUCUUACACAAGAAAGAACUAAGGAAAAAGGUAUACUUAGAAGUUGCAUUUCUAUGUUCCCAAACAAUAGAAAAUUCAAUAUAUGGCACUUCACUCUCUACUUUUCUUUCCCACCUUUUCUCAUAACCCAAAUAUGCUCACCUCUCAUUCCAAGAUCCAACCAAAAUUGAAAAACAAUUACAAAAAUCCUAGUAGAAGAGACAGAUCAUACUACAAUUACACUUUCUUACAAGAAAUUGAAGUGCAAAAGGAAUAACAAUUGAGUGAAACAAAUAAAACCAACCCCCUUUACCACACCUACUAAUGAAAUACUUGCAGAGACACUUUAAAUUUCUCCAGACUCCAAGAGAUACUGAUCAACAGCCUCGACACCUGCAGUGAUGAGACCAACACUUGAUACGAUAUAAUGCACAAACUCGACACGGAAUUGGUAAGACUUGGUUAGAUUACAGAAAAAUUUUCAAACAUUAUAUUUUUCUUUCCAAUCACAACAAAACAUCAAAAUAUUUUCAAAAAUAAAAAUUAGAGAUUCCCUCUUCAAAAGAAGACACCCAUGAUUCUGAAAUUGGAGCUUUUAACCCAGAAGAUCAAAGAAGACAAAGAAGAAAAAACCCAACCCCUAACCCAUUCGGAAAUAAGAGGAGAAACCAUCAAAGAAUGAGGGCAUGAGUUAGGAUUUACUUACCUGAUUUUCCUAAAAAUCGAGAAUCACCAAAGGUGGAGGUUUGGUGUCGGCGGUGGUAACUCGUCAAGUGGACUGAAUCUUACAAUGACGACGUCGGCUAGGCAACCCCCUCACAGUCAGAUUGCUCUCCCUCCGGGGUCUUGCAUAGUUGCAAAUUUGCAAUUGCAGGUGGUGUCAUCUAUCGGCGGUCUUGACAGCAACGGUGGUGUGCGAGGUGUGGGAGAUUGGGAGUCCAAAUUGGUAAAGUAACAAAUGCAUUUUAUAUGGAUUUACGUUGAUGAUAUGAGAUAGGAUUUGAUGGUAACAUAUUAAAUUAAAUUAAACGAUUGAGUCCAAAAUGAUACGGAUGGUAUGAGAUGGGAUUUAAUGAAAAAUUAAAUGUAUUUAUAUGGAAAAUUGAGAAUUAAAUCCCCAAUUCUUAGUAUUAUUAUAAAUAGGUGAAAAAAUUUUGUUUUAUUAAAUUUUUAAGCUUAUUUAAUUUCUAUAUAUUUUUUUAUAUAUAAUUUACAUAACAUUUUUAUAAUUUUUUGAAAAUUUUAAUUAUCUUAUUUUGCGUAUUGCUUGAUAUUGAAUCAAAAUGUCGAGACCAACAUAUCUCGGGAUCAUUUGAGUCAAUGAUCGAUAUCACAACUUUGAACCAUGCUCGUCUCCAAUCCCUCAACAAUGAUGAAAAAUGAGGGCAACACAAUUACCUUUUUUAUUAUUAUCAGUUCAAAAUAAUACGUGUAUUAUAAUAUAAUUUUUAAAAAAUAUUUUACAAAAAAAUAUAUGUGGACCCCGCAUUUAGGCUCAUGCACUUCCACUCGAUGGCGAGCUCGAUUUUAUUUUGAAAAUGAUUUUAUUUAUUAGAAAAUGACUUGGAGUCGCUACUUAUUUUUGUUUUAUUUUUAAAGGGUAAACAAAAUAAGAAAGAAAACCCUAAGUGUGACUCCUUAUUUUGGAAAAGGUGGUCUGUGAAAAAUGGGAUCGAGUUCGGGGGCUAGGUUACUUAUCGGGAAGGUACGGUAAAGACCGUAGCACCCCUUUAACUCCCCAAAGUCGGGUCUUUACUAAUAAAAUGAAGUUGACGCGACAAUCAAUAAUAAAAACAAUGAAUAUCGACAUGAUCACAUAUUGAAAACCAAAACAUAUAAGGAUGAUGGUUAGAGUGAGAAAAAAUGCGUACCUAAUCAGCAAGCGGCAACGCGCUAUCAUAAAAUGAGGUUAGUGCACAAAUAAUGGACAUAAAACAUAGCUCACAUGCCACUGAAUCGAGUACAAAAUCAUCAGAUAUCACAAUUAAGUCAAAUUUAUUUUUCGAGGAAACAAUCAUUGAUGUUGGGCCUCCACCAAAACCCAAUUUAUUCCUGCAUGAAUUAAUUCCGUAAAUUCCAUCACUUGGAAUUAUAGAAUUUAAUUCACACUUAUUUUUAAAACGUUUUAGAAUUCAUGGAAGUUAUGGAAAUCCAUGCCGAAGAAAAUGACAACAAAAUUUUAUUAAAAAUGUGAUUUUUGGGACUUGAAAGCUCUAAGAAUGAAGAAUCUGGAAAAUAAUGCGAAAAAAAUGAGAUUUGGAAAAAAAUAUUUUUUUAAACCAAGAAUGGUGAAAAUGAGAAGAGAAAAAAAAAGUGACACGUGGCAUAAGGGUGGCCAUGCACCAUUUCAAACAAAUCUAACCCCACUUGCUUUUAUUUGAUCCUGAUCUUGAUCCCAUAUUUUGGAUGGUUCCUUCUGGUCAUGUGGACUUCUUAGUGAAAAUAGCAUGCUAUUGGGAUAAAACAUUUUAUAACUUUGACAUGUUUAAGAAUAAAAAAAAUGUCAAUGAUAGGGAAGGAGGACAAGAGGUGUAGCGACGCCAAGUUUAGAGUAGGUUUAGUCCAAUAGAGGUUAUUAGCAAAAAAACAUAUUUUCUUCUUGUACUUUUGAAAGUGUUCUAUUUUGAAUAAUGAGAGUAUUUUUUUUCCUUUUUUUUUUCUCUAAUACAUUAUUGGUGAAUAAGUGUUCUAUUUUGAAUAAUGAGAGUAUUUUUUUUCCUUUUUUUUUUUUCUCUAAUACAUUAUUGGUGAAUAAGUGUUCUAUUUUGAAUAAUGAGAGUAUUUUUUUUUCUUUUUUUUUUCUCUAAUACAUUAUUGGUGAUUAUUCUUCGCGGAAAUACCCACAAGGCUAUUAGAUGUUUCAUUGCAAAUAUGGUUUUACAUGAUAGCAUUACGAUUGAACUAAUAAAACAUAUUUUCUACAUAUUGUUUAGCUGGACCUCCCAACUACCUCUGGAUAAUAUCCUCUUAACAUAGGAAGUAUAAACUAAUAGCAAGUGCUAAUCUUUCCCAUUCUUACACAAGAAAGAACCAAGGAAAAGGUAUACUUAGAAGUUGCAUUUUUAUGUUCCUAAACAAUAGAAAAUUCAAUAUAUGGCACUUCACUCUCUACUUUUCUUUCCCACCUUUUCUCAUAACCCAAAUAUGCUCACCUCUCAUUCCAAGAUCCAACCAAAAUUGAAAAACAAUUACUAUUACAAUUACACUUUCUUUCAAGAAAUUGAAGUGUAGAAGGUAUAAUAAUUGAGUGAAACAAAUAAAAACCAACCUCCUUUAACACACCUGCUAAUGAAAUACUUGUAGAAACACUUUAAAUUUCUCCAGACUCCAAGAGAUACUGAUCAACAGCCUCGGCACCUACAGCAAUGAGACCAACACCUGAUACGAUAUAAUGCACAAACUUGGCAUGGAAUCGGUAAGACUCGGUUAGAUUAUAGAAAAAUUUUCAAACAUUCUCUUUUUCUUUCCAAUCAUAAUAAAACAUCAUAAUAUUUUCAAAAAUAAAAAUCAGAGAUUCCUCUUUCAAAAGCAAACACCCAUGAUUCUGAAAUUGGAGCUUUCAACCCAGAAGAUCAAAGAAGACGAAGAAGAAAAAACCCAACCCUUAACUCGUUCGGAAAUCAGAGGAGAAACCACCGAAGGAUGAGGGCAAGAUUUAGGAUUUACUUACCGAUUUUCCUAAAAAUCAAGAAUCAUCAGAGGGUGGAGGUUUGGUGUCGGCGGUGGUAACUCGUCAAGUGGACUGAAUCUUACAACGGCGAGGUCGGCUAGGCAACCCCCUCACAGUCAGAUUGCUCCCCCUCUAGGGUCUUGCAUAGUUGCAAAUUUGCAAUUGCAGGUGGUGUCAUCUAUCGGCGGUCUUGACAACAACGGUGGUGUGCGAGGUGUGGGAGAUUGGGAGCCCAAAUUGGUAAAGUAAAAAAUGCAUUUUAUAUGGAUUUACAUUGAUGAUAUGAGAUAGGAUUUGAUGGUAACAUAUUAAAUUAAAUUAAAUGAUUGAGUCCAAAAUGAUAUGGAUGGUAUGAGAUGGGAUUUAAUGAAAAAUUAAAUGUAUUUAUAUGACAGAUUAAGAAUUAAAUCCCCAAUUCUUAGUAUUAUUAUAAAUAGGUGAAAUUUUUUUGUUUUAUUAAAAUUUUAAGCUUAUUUAAUUUCUAUAUAUAAUUUACGUAAUAUUUUUAUAAUUUUUUGAAAUUUCUAAUUAUCUUAUUUUGCGUAUUACUUGAUACCGAAUCAAGAUGUCAAGACCAGCAUAUCUCGGGAUCAUCUGAAUCAAUGAUCGAUAUCGCGACAUUGAACCAUACUCAUCUCCAAUCCCUCAAUAGUGAUGAAAAAUGAGGCCAACGCAGUUGCCUUUUUUAUUAUUAUAAGUUAAAAAUAGUCAUGUAUUAUAAUAUAAUUUUAAAAAAAUAUUUUUACAAAAAAAAUACAAUAAAGAAAAUUUUAAAUAAAAGAGUUUACAAUAACUUUCUAUAUUAAUAAAUUAAUAAUGAAUCUAUAUCCAUGUAUUAUCGAGAAUAAAUAAGUUUAUAUUUAUAUAUUUUUAUUAUAAAUUUAUAUUGACACAUAUCCUUGAUUUCCCUCAAGGUUUUAUUUUUAAUUGAUUACAAAGCAUUAGUACUUGUUUAAUAAAAAAUGUAUUAAAUAAAUAUUAAUAUUAUAUAAAUAAAUAAAAGUUGAAUUUGAAUAAAACUUAUAUAUAUAUAUCAUAUUCAACAUGAAUAUGAAUCUAUUAUUAAAGAUACAUGGUAAUAAGUGUUAAUAUUAUAUAAUCAAAUGAGAGAGUACAAAAAUGUUCUAUUAUUAUAAUAAUAAGAUAUUUAAUAUCAUGCAAAUAAAUAAAAGUCACCAUAAAUUUAAAUUUGAAUUUAUAUUUUUAAACCCUUCAAAUUUUUAUUUUUAUUUUUAAAUUUUAAGAAUUUUUUCUCCACUUCAAAUAGCAAUAAUAGUGUUUAUUCAUACUAGUUAUACUUAAAAUUGAUGAAAAUUAUGAAAAAAAAAAAAGAAAUAAAAACCCAUACCCUUCAAAUUUGCAUUUGUUUUAAUUUUAAGAUUUUUUUUCUCUACUUCAAGUAAUAAUAAUAAUAAUGUUUAUUCAUACUAAUAACAAUAAAAUUAAUGAAAAUGAUGAAAAAUAAAAAAUAAAUAGUAAAAACUUCAAAUUUGUAAUAAUAAUAAUGUUUAUUCAUACUAAUAAACAAUUCUUCAUAAUCAUAACCUACUAAUUUCCAACAAUUAUAAUUGAAAUUAUUUUGAAUAAACAAUGUAAUUUGUAUUUGAAGUUGAAAAAAAUUGUGAAAAUUAAAUGGGAAGGGUAGGGUUUUAAUUUUAUUUUAUUUUUUUUACUUUUUACCUCAUAAAUUUUUUAUUUUUUUAUUUUUAUUUAUUUAUGAAUUCUAAGUGAAAUUAUUAUGAAUCAACAAUUUUAUUGAUAUUUAAAGUUAAAAAAAAUCUAUGAAUUUUAAAUAAAUUUUGGAAGGUAUUUGUAAUGGGGUAUUUUUAUUUGCACUUUCCUAUUAUGUUGAAACAUUGUUUGGUUUCAAAAUUGUUUAUUCAAAAUAAUUUCAAUUAUUAUUAUUGGAAAUUAGGAGGUUAUGAUUAUGAAGAAUUGUUUAUUAGUAUGAAUAAACAUUAUUAUUAUUAUUAUUAUUAUUAUUAUUAUUAUUUGAAGUAGAGAAAAAAUUCAUAAUGCAUAGGGAGAUCACAGAUUCUAUGGAUUCAACAAUUGAUAAGCCUACUUGUUUAUAUUAUUGUCCUUAACCAGCUAUCCCAUUUUUUAAUUUACUUUUGGUGCAUUUAGUUUGUAACUUAUCUUAUGUUUUACUUAUUUUCAAUUUUUUAAGGUUUAGAUAGUUUUUUUUUUCUAAAAAAAAAAAAAAACCUCUUUUGAGCCAUAACUUGAUUCUCUUGCUAUUCUUAUUUUUAACCAUUUUUUCAAUGAGAAAUUAGGUCUUUUGGCGGAAUUGUGGGAAGUGGAUUGAAUCGGGAAAUUUAUUUGGUCCAGAUUGUGUUUCACUAGAGUCCUAAGAGAUGCAGCUAAGUGAGCUUAUAAUAAAAAGGUAGGCAUGUAAACGAACCAUGCUAGUCCGGGCCAUUCUUAGCUUGGCCUAGUGGGCCUUCAAAAUUGCUCCAACAUGAAUUUCAACGUGAACUUCAGUUUUUAAAAUUAAUAAUUAUACAUUUGUUUUAACUAUUUAUAACAAAUAUUAUCUUUGAAAAGUAAAUUUCAAUUAAUUUUUAUAUUUAAAUAAAAAUUAUUAUUAUUUUAAUUAUUUGUAUCCAAAUCAUACCCGAUAUAUUUGAUUUAUCUUACAAUGUUUCAACAUAAUAGGAAAGUGCAAAUAAAAAUACCCCAUUACAAAUACCUUCCAAAAUUUAUUUAAAAUUCACAUAUAUAUAUAUAUAUAUAUAUAUAUAUAUAUAUAUGAAUUUUAAAUAUCAAUAAAAUUGUUGAUUCAUAAUAAUUUCACUUAGAAUUCAUAAAAAAAAUAUGAGGAAAAAAAAUUAAAAUAAAAAAUUUUAAGAUCCCUACCCUUCCCAUUUAAUUUUAACAAUUUUUUUUUCUGAGCAUUGAUUUGUUGAUCGGUUAUUAAGGGCCACUCAUUUGCUUUGUUGGAUCUAACUCUCUGUAUGCAUGCUCUGUUUUGGCUUUGUUUUUUUUUUUUUUUUUUUAUCUUUGCUUUCUCUUGUAAAUAUCUGAUGCAUUGUUCCUUCUCUGAACUUGAGAUAUAAAAAUCAUGCUCUUGUUCCUUGUGGAUUCCACCUUCUCCUAGCUCUUUGACAAUCCAUGAAAUAGAGCUAAGUUCAUACUUUAUUUUUAUGUUUUUAUUCUUUUUUGUUUGUUGUUGAUGGUGGGAUGAUAUUAUCAAUGGCCAAGUUGCUAGGAUUAGAGGAGUGAGGUUAUGGGGAAGUGAACUUAAUGGAGGAUUUCCGUGAUCAUAUCCAUGCUCCAAUAUAUUGGUUCCCAAUGUUGGCCACGGGACUGUAUUGAAGUUUUGGUAUUUGGGAUCACUUUGCCUUCUGGGUUCAGUAAGCAACACAGUGGCAAUAAAGAUGCUUUGGUGUUAUUAAUUUGGGUGAAUAAGUUGGUUGUAUGAAUUGUGAAAGUUCAGGUUGUGCUUUGAGGAGAGUAUAUCUUGCAUCCUACUAUUUUAAUUAUUAAUUUUGGAUGUUGAAAUAUGAUGUGAUUGCACUUCAUAUGCAUCAUAGUUGUGUGAAGAAAAAGAAAGAUUAAAGAACUGGUUGUGUGAAAUGGAAAUAAGAAUGGAAAAACCUUGGAGAUGGCAAAAAUGAAAAGAAAAGAAAAAAAAAAAAAAUGCAAUGACCCUAGAGAGAGCGAAUUAAGAAGGGAGUGAAAUCCCUAGGGUGAAAGACCCAAAAGUUUACUUCGGGAAGACUUCGAAUGAGGAGUAUAUUUAGGUACAGACGUGUAUCCUUUGGUGAAAGCCCGAGAAUGACAGUGCAUUGUGUGAUUGUGAGAUUGUGUGUAAGCAUUUGCAUCAUAAUUGCAUUUGGAAGAAGGAUUUGUAUUAUUUAUCAAGUGUAUAUUUGAAUAUAUUAUUCAAAACUAAAAUGACUUGUUUAUUUUGUAAAUUUAGAAUUGUUAAUAUACUAAACAUGAUUGAAUAAGGAAAAUGAUAAUUUUGAUUGUUUUAAAUUUGUAUGGUUAGGGUUUCUUUCAGUGUAUAUAUUGUAAAUGUAAUAUUAUAUCUUGGCAUAUGGUUGUGUUAUUGACCUAGAAUUUCUAACCUAUUUGGGUGUAAAACAUCCUACUGAGCAACGUGGAAAUGCUCACCCUUUUAUUUUUUAAAAUUUUUAGAUGUAAAUAUAGUUUUAGAGGGACCACAAAAAGUUCAAGAAGCGUUUUAGAAAGCAAAAGAACCAUAAUAAGAGUUGUUUUUAAAUUUAUAUUUCUCUUCUUAUACGUACCAAUUUGAGUUAUAUGGGCUUUUGUAUGUUAAAUUAUAUUUGUUAGGUUGUAAAAUAUUUUUGGAAAUAUCCUUUUUGAUUUAGAGAUUAUUGUAAAUAUUUGUGUUUUUGGGCAGGAAGAUGACUAAUGGAUUUAUUAUACUUGUGAAUAAGAGAUAAUGUGAUGGUUGGUUUUAAAAAAAUAAAAUAAUAUGUUAUAAUAAAUCUUAGUUUAAUAAGUUUAUUUAAGAUUACACGUUUUACUAUAAAAAAAAUAAAAAAUUUCAAAGUGUUUUGAUUGAUUGACAACGUAGAUAAGAAUUACCCGGAUCAAACUCUUGACCUGGGCCAACUAUGUUGGUGAAUACCCAAUUAUACCCACAUGAAUCAGCCGUCAAUCUUACAAAUCCAAGGGCAAAGUAGUCAUUCCAAUUCAAACCAAAAAAAGCCAUGAUUCAUGAAAACUGCUGGCCACAGCUCCUGGUUUUUGCCAAACUUUGGGCACCAAAUCCAAACCCAUCUCUUUGCUAUAUAACCAACCCACCUUCACUUCUUCAUCACAACACAACUACCUUGAUUUACAGAGAGAUCUUCUAUAUCCAUUCACUACUCAGAAUCACCUCUUUUUUUUGUUGAUUGUUGUUUGGGUUUUGGAGAAAGAAAAUUAAGAAGAUGAGUCAUAUGGGGAAAGCUUGGAUAGUGGCAGCAAGUGUGGGAGCAGUGGAGGCACUCAAGGAUCAGGGCUUCUGCAGAUGGAACUACACUCUGAGGUCUAUUCACCAGCAUGCCAAGACCAACCUCAGGUCCUUUACUCAGGCCAAGAAGCUCUCUUCUUCCUCUUCUGCCAUGGUUUCCAGUAGAGUGAGAGACGAGAAGGCCAAGCAGUCAGAGGAGUCUCUGAGGACUGUCAUGUACUUGAGCUGCUGGGGACCCAACUGAAGAAGAAGAUAUGAAGAUGGAUGAUCAUCAGCCUGCUCUUGAAGCAACCAGGGAGGGCAUAUUCCAAGAAACUUAUGGAAAAUUGAGAUGAAGAAACUGCAGUGAAGCAAUUUUCUUGGAAUUUUUGCUUGGAGACUCACGAAUUACAACCAAUUGCUCAGGGUUGGGAAAAUUGGAAUUGCUGUGAAUUGUGACUGGGUCUUUGUAAAACCCACAUCAUUUAGCUAGAAAAGCUUUGAAAAUACAUUUUUAUUUAAUUUAUAAUUUCUAUGUUAGAAUAUUAGACCUGAUUCCUAAAAAGCUUAUCAGCCUUGUAUUAGACCCAAGCUCAAGCGCAUUAAGAAAAAAUAUGGCAGAUUUUGUCAUAUAGGGGAUAAAGAGGUGAUAAAGUAGAUACAACUCCCAAAAUUAAACUCUCAAUUAAUUUAAUUGAACAAAUAAUCAUAAAAGAGAUUUUUUAAAUUUAUGAUUUUAUUUUUUAAUUUAUACUAUUUGAAAAAGAAAAUUUCAGUGAAAUAUGUUCGUGUAGACUGUGUGGUAGGGUGCAGACUAAACAAAGAAAUGGACACGUGCUUGAAAUCCGGCCCUACACAUUGGCCCUUUGGAAAACAGCGGUUUCAUCCUCCGUACUUUUUGGGCGUUAAGUGGGUUCACAAACCAAACAAUGGGCUGCUAACACUUACACUGAGGACAAGCUAUGUAGGUGAAUACCCAAUUAUAAUACCCACAUGAAUCAGUGGUCAAUCUUACAAAUCUAAGGACAAAGUAGUCAUUCCAAUUCAAACCAAACAAAGAUAUGAAAACUGCUGGCUACAGCCUCUGGUUUUCCCCAAAACUUUGGGCACCAAACCCAUACCCAUCUCUUGCUAUAUAACCAACCCACCUUCAGUUCAUCUUCCUCAUAACAACACAAAACACUUGAUUUAUAGAGAGAUCUUCAAUAUACCAUUCACUACUCAGAAUCAGUUCUUUUACUGUUGAUUUCUGUUUGAGUUUUGGAGAAAGAAAAUUAAGAAGAUGAGUUAUAUGGGGAAAGCUUGGAUAGUGACAGCGAGUGUGGGAGCAGUGGAGGCACUCAAGGACCAGGGCUUCUGCAGAUGGAACUAUGCUAUGAGGUCUAUUCACCAGCACGCCAGGAACAAGCUCAGGUCUUGUUCUCAGGCCCAGAAACUCUCUUCUUCCUCUUCCGCCAUGGCUUCUAGCAGAGUGAGAGAGGAGAAGGCCAAGCAGUCAGAGGAGUCUCUGAGGACUGUCAUGUACUUGAGCUGCUGGGGACCCAACUGAGGAAGAAGCUAUAUAUAUAUAUAUAUAUAUGAAGGUUUUGAUCGUCCUACUAGUGAUGAAGACAGUGGAGGGGAGAGAUUGAUUUCAUGGAAUUUUUGUACAAAGACAUAUACAUGAGGGUGGAAUUGCUGUAAAUUGUAUAGUUUAUUGACGAUGGCUCUAUGAAAUACAUACAUCAUAUAGUGUUUUUUUUCUCAAUAGCUGUUUUCAAUUCUCACAAUUGUUCUGCCGCUAAUUUUUUUUGAGGUAAUUUGCCCAAAGACAUCCUGAGGAUUUUUCAUUGAAAUUAUAUAUAAAAGAAAAAUAAAAGAAUAUGCAGAAAGGAUAAAUGCGGUGCAGGGAAAAAGCUGUUCCAUUUUUUCAUGUGAAUUUUCAUACAAUGCACUGAUCUCCUUCCCAAACUAUGGGCGUAAGCGGAUUUCCAAAAGAAAGAAGGUAAAACCGUGUGCCUCUUCCUCAACCCCAUUUGAUCUAAAUUCUAAUGCUUCCAAAAAAAGGAACAAACUGAAAUAAAAACAAAUUAUCUUUUGCCCAUCUUUUCAAUAACGCCAAACGCUACUAGAAAAUACCAUAACAGCUAAUACUGCCAGAGAGAAAACUAUCGGCUUCAUCUCCAAGGGGGCCCAAACCCCUGGUUUUCCCAAACUUUGUGCGCCUUCCCUUACCUUUAUAUAACUCCAUUUUUUCCACUGAGAAUCAUCAUUAUCGGUUAUGGAAGAUCAAAGAACGAAGAAAUUGAAGAUGGGUUAUGUGGCAGCAAGUGUGGGAUCAGUGGAGGCGUUGAAGGAUCAGGGGUUCUGCAGAUGGAACCAUUCCAUGAGGUCGAUUCAGCAGCAGGCUAAGAACAAUCCGAGGUCUUUUUCUCAGGCCAGGAAGGUCUCUUCUUCUUCAUCUUCUGCCAUGGGUUCAAGCGGAAAGAGAAAGCAGUCAGAGGAGUCCUUGAGGACUGUCAUGUAUUUGAGCUGUUGGGGUCCCAAUUGAACCCAGCUGAAGAAGAAGAAGAAGAAGAAGAAGAAGAAGAAGAAGUUGAAAUCUGAUUGUUGUAAAAUGAUGGAAAAUGUAUAUAUGUAGAAUAUGAGGGAAAUGAUCUAUCAAGUCCCAUAUUAUUUUGAGAAUUAUUGCUGUUUUGUUCACUUAAGUUGUUGCUUAAUCUUCCCUUGAGAGUGGAGACAUGCUCUUGAACUUCAUGAGAGAGUGAGAGUGAGAGAGAGAGUAUUCUUGUUUCUCUUCCUUAAAGAGGGGAGGUACUUUCCCCAUCUUCCAAACCAUUGUUUGUCCAAAGAGUGUGAAUAAUUAUAAAACUGUAAACACGAUUUAAAACUAAGGUGUUGUUUGUUUUUUGACUGAAUAGAAAAAGUUAAAUAUUUUGAUUUUUUCUAUUCAGUUAAAAGUAAUUUAUUGACAUCAAUAAUAUAAUUAAAUUAAACUUUUUGAUAAUAAGUUCACUUUAGUUAUAUUGAUUAGUAUCAAUAAGAUACUUUUAACUGAAUAGAAAAAGUCAAAAUAUUUGAUUUUUUCUAUUCAACUAAAAAACAAACACCACCUAAUUUUUUUUAAGGUGAAAAUGGACAAUGUUUACAAGGAUGAUGUGAAUAGUUAUAAAUAUUAUAAACAUCGAGUCUUUUUGGGAUCAAAACGAAUACUGUUUAUAAGGAUGAAUGUGAAUAGUUAUAAAUAUUGUAAAAUGUUUUAGAACUGAGUCUUUUUUAGGCUAAAACGGAUGAUGUUUGUAAAGAUGAAUGGAAAUAGUUACAAAAAUUGUAAACACGUUUCUUUUUAAGGUUAAAAUGGACAAUGUUUACCCAGAAGAAUGUGAACGGUUACAAAUAAUAACGUGGGGUUUUAUUAAUCAUAUAAGACAAAAUGAUAACCUUGUUUUUAUUUGAUGCAUUUGUAAUAACUCACAUCAAAUCAAAUAACGGAGAAAGUUACUAACACAAUAAAGAUUAGACUAAGGGCAUGUUUGGUUACUAUUUUUGAAAGUUAUUAUGAAAACAGGUUUUUGUGUUUUCAAAAAAAAAAAAAUAAAUAAAAUUUGGGAAUUGAAUUCUAACAGUUUUCAUCCUAAAAAAAAAAACAUGUUUAAUUGAGUUAAUAAAAAAGUUUUUUAAAAUAAAUAAAAUAAAAAACAUGUUUGAAAGUUAUUUAUUAUUUUAAUUAAUAAAGUGUUUUUUGCUGUUAACUUGAUAUUAUAAAUAUAUAAAUAAUUUUCAUAUAUACAAUUCAUUUAAAUUUAAAAAAAUUAUUCAAUUUUGAAAUUUUUACAUCCGUUAUAAUUUUCUUAAACAAAGAAUGACUUUAUCACCAUGUGUAAGUAUAUUAAUUUCAAUAAUUUAAGGAAGAAGAAAAGGUUUGGGGUGAGGGUGUGAUGGUUGGGUGAAACCCACCUUUGUAGAAACACAAAAAAUAAUCUAUUCUUUUAAUAAUGAAAAAACAAUCAAGACAUCUUUUUAUUGUUCUAAAAUAAAUGAUUUUUAAAAACAUAAAAAACAAAAACUCACCUCCUUCCCCAAAUAAGUUUUUUGUGUUUUUUAUUCUUGUAAAUAUUGUCCAUUUUAUAACAAGCUCUAACCCAUUAACAAUUGUGUCAAACCGAGUCUUCUUAUUGGGGAAAACAGUGGGAUGAAUUUAUCAUGGCGAAAAAUGGGGAGAAAGAAAGAAACCGAACCUAACUUUAUCCUCAUUCUGGGAUGAUGAGAGACAGAAGUUCCUUGGUAUUAAACCACAGCGUCAGUGAUACAAGCUUGGACUCUGGUUUCAUCACCUCCUAGCUCCCACCCUAUCUCCCUCUCUCUCUCUCGAAAAUAAUUUUCCCCUCUACCUUUCCUAAUUGAAUAUAUGCUAACAUCAUCUUGAUUAAAGGCACAUAUUCAUAGGAGAAAAUCUCAGUAAAAAAUUUUAUUUAUAAGAAUCAAAGAACAUCAAAAACUUUCCAACAAUCUUAUAUUUUUAAUCUAUCAAGCAAUUCUCAUUUGCUUAAAAUUAUCAUCCUUCUCUUUCGUAUGCCCAAGUCACAUAUGCUAUAAUUUGGUAGUGUUUGAAAUUGAUUAAGGUUAAAAUUGUAAUUAUGUUUGUAACCAUGCUAUCUUAUGGUGCAUAAAGAUGAUCAAUUUUCUAUCUUUUCUUCAUAAAAGAAGCAUUUUUUUUUUAACAUUUUCGUAACUUCACUUUCAACUUUAUAUAUACAUGCAUUGGAGUUAGCUACAUCCAAAGAAAUCAGAUUUCUCUUUAGUUCUAAAACAUGUAUUAUAUCAUUUAAUAUUUUUAUAAUAUCAUCAUGUAUUUUAAUUCCAAAAAUGUUUAUCCUAAAAAUCUUCCCACCUUCUAUAAGUUGGGAGGUACCAAACCAUUUCUUAUUAGGAGACAUAUGAUUAUGAAAGGAGGAUUGUGAAUCAUAGAUUCAUUCAUCUUCUAAGUUACUAAUAAUAAUUGAAAUAACAUUUGUAUGCAAUAUUUAAAAUUUUCUCUUCAACUAUCACGUUAUAAGAAGUAGAAGUUUUUUUUUUUUUCUUUAAUUUCCUUUAUGUUUCGGACAAUUUCUCUCAUAGUGUUAUUCUUUAUUGUAAUUGAAACACUUGUUUAUUUCUUUUGGACUUUGAUUUAAAUUUGGAAUGACCUUUCUUGCUCCCUCUCUAGUUACCAAACCUCUAUCUAAGCUUUCUUAUCUACUCUUAGACAUUUUUUUUUCUUCAAUUCCUUUGAGUUUAAAGUUGCUCUAACAUUUUUUAUGGAUAGAAUAUCUCCAUCAUACAUCAUAACAUUCACAAAGUGCUUGUAAAAAUUUGCUAACGAACUUGUCAAAAUUAUAGUUUGAUUUAUAUCGCCAAUUCUAUUAUCAAUAUUCUUUUAAUUUAUAAUAGUUUUAUUAACUUCGUCUAGAUGGUUUUUAAUUGAUGUACAUUCUUUCAUUUAUAGAGUAAGUAAUGAUUUUUUAUAUACAAGUGAUUUGUAAAACACUUUAUCAUACAUAGACUUUCUAAUUUCGACUAUAAUUUGGAAAUUAUAUCAUUUUCUAUAAUUUCAAAAACGUAUCUCAUUACCCAAGUUCAAUAAAAUAACAUUGUCUCUUUCUUUGUAAGUUUAUGAUUUUCUUUAUUAUACAUUGUUAUUGGUUGAGUCAUUUUACCUUCUAAUGCAUUGGACAAUUUUUAUUAAAUUAACAAGACACACAUCUUAACAAACUACAAAUUAAAAUUAUUUCUUUCAUCAAAAUUUUCAAUUUUAAAUUUUAUCUUUCAGGUCUAACAACCUUAGCUUUGAUAAUAAUUUAUUAUUAAAAAAAUCAUGGUAAAGAACAUUUGCAUGCAACAUCUAAAUUUUCUUUUAUAGUCAUCACAUCACGAAGCUGUUUCUUUUAUCUUUAAUGUCAACCUAAAUUAGAAUGGAAACAAAUGUUUGUUUAUAUAUAUAUAUAUAUAUAAUGCAUAAAGGAAUGCUUAGAAUAUCAUUUAUAAUGAGAUUAUGAAUGAAUUGGGUACCUAAUAUCUUAGGUGGAUCAUCUAUUCUAACAAGAUUAAUUUCUUGAUCACAAAGAGUGAUGUUUUCAACAGGAUUAGCAAAUUCAAAAAGAAUUUCCUUAUCAAAAAGCUUUGUUCUUAUACCUUGGUUAUCUACCCAUAAGGGAUAAAUAGAACUUAAGAAGGGUAUUCCUAGGAGAGCUUUCUCCUUAAGAUCCUUAAAUAGCCAAAAAGACGGGACAAAACACUGUUUGCUUUUUGACUAACUGUCAUGAAUAGUAAUCUCGUGCAUGAAUACUGAAUAGUGAAUAGUAAAAUUCACUUUUCCAUCGAAUUCCACCGAAAAACCCACUUUCUGUUGAGAAGACUUCUGACAGGCUGUUUUAGACUGUGUAGUCACAUGCUUGUUGCUUUUGGUGCUGAAACUGCAAAGCUUGUAAAAUAUUUUUGAUGUAAGACAUGAGGCUGAUGAUUACUUAGAUCUUCUUAUUGGAGGAAGGAUUCCUUCACAGUCGUCACCAUUGUCUGGAAGCUAGCUUGUUAAAUCAUUAGAUUCUGCAUUUCUAUAAUUAAAUCCAAGAUGCUAUGAUGUUGAAUAUCAUAAAAGCUUUUCGGAUUUUUUUUGUUAAACAUCAAUUAGUUUAAGGGAGAAUUACCGAAUAAGGUAGGCUGUAAAAAAUAAUGACUAUGAAGGCUCACUCUUUUAGAGGACAAUUUUACCCUUUAAUAUGUUUUCUAUAUUAUUUAUAAAUAAAUUGAGAUUGUCAAUGAUGUGGGGCCCAUACGUGAUGAUAAGUACUGGUUGAUAGGCAAUCAAUGGUACAUUUCUCAGCUUGAAAAAAUUGUUGUCACUUUUGAACAAUCAAAUGACUAUUUAAAAAUUUACUAUUUUUUUUUUCAAAAAAAUUGAGAUUUUUCAAAGAACCUUAUAAAAAAAUAAUUUUUAAUAUCUCAUAAAUAAAAACCAUAUCCUAAAGUUAUUAUAUCGUUUUAUAUAUAAAACAUACAAUUAAAAACUUUGUUAUCGUAAUAUAAUGAAUAAUUAUUUUUUACAAGCACUUGUCAAUUGAAUAAUAUAGAAAUAUUCAAUUGACUAAUACAGACCUAUUAAAUGGAAUAACUCACAAUUAUUCAUUGGGUAAUAUAGCACGUGAAAAAAUUAAAUAAAAAUAAAUUAAAUUAUGUUGUAAUAUAUUGUAAUGAUAGUGUAUUUAUAUUGUAAGUAAAAUGCAUUUAUGUCGUACCUUUAUUUCAUUACAAAAGUAAUAAUUCUAAAUAUGUUUAUUCAUACCCUAUUGGUAUUAACACAUCGUAUCAAUAUGUUAACAAUAUUUAUUUAGUGUUUUGAAAUUAUUUAAUAAUUUUUGUAUAUAUAUAUAUAUAUAUAUAUAUAUGAUACCAACAACACCCAGGACAAGGUCAUAUGCAAUGAAAACAGGAAUUAUGUUAUGAUUCAAAACAAAGAAGAGGGUUAGAAGCCAAACAAGAUAAAUAACCAAAGAAAUUUAAAAAGAGAAGGAACCACAAACUUUUUAGUUCAUAAAUAUAAAACCAUCCAUGAUA